CCAUUAGCAGCUUUAACCAAAAUAUUAUCAGUCAUUUAUUUAUGCCAUAUAAUUAGGCUAAAUUACAUAAAAUUCUCCGAUAAAUACUCGCUUUUCACUUUUUCUAUUUGACUUUCAAAAACCUACAUUUUACCCUCUUAAAAUUUCAGAAAUAUUUUCAAUGGGGUAUGGUGUUAAUGGAAAGAACAAAAUUACCAAAUUAUCUUUACUUCUUCUAUAAGAAAAAAAUAUUUUUUAAUAUAUUUUUAUCAUUUUAAAGGACAUUUUCGAUGUAAAUUAUAAAAAAAUAGAUGAAAUAGUAAUGGAACCCUGGCGAAGGGGAACUAAAUGCAUCAAUUUGAAAUCUUAAGGGGAUAAAAUGUAGGUUUUUGAAAGUUAUGAAGGAAAAGUGAAAAAGUAGGUAUUUACAGAAAAAUUUUCUGUAAUUUAGCCAUAUAAUUAUCUCGCAAUUAUUUAGCACAGUUAAUUGGUACUCCAGACUACCGAUAAAAGAAGUCAGAUAAUUCGUGUCCGUUCCAAAUUGGAUUGAUAUAUUCCCUCGCUUCUUCUUGAAGAAAUGGUGGUUAAAAUUAGGGUGAUUUACUAGCAGUAAAUAAUUAUAUCCAAUAUGCAAGUUCUCUCCUUGUACUUAUUUUCCUGGUGCAUGUUGCAUCACUGUUGAUCUCAUCUUCAAGACUACAUGCUUUCCACAUUAACCUAAACCACCAAACCAAAUUAAUAUUUGAUAAUAAUAUAUUAAAAGCUCCUUGAACAUACCAUUGGCCCUCAUCCUUUGACCUUGAAAUUAAUAGUGAGGCACUCAUUAAAAUUAACAUCACAUUGUUCUCCACCUAAUGCUUUUCAUUUAGUUGUUUGUUCAACUGUGAAACAAUCAACAGUUUUGAAAAGCAAUGACGUACACCCAUGCAUAGGGAUGCAAAUGAAUCCGGGUUGGUGGAGCUCCGCCCCGAAUUCGACCCGAAUUCGACCCGAUCCGCCAAGUAAAUGGAGCGGGAGGUGGAAGACUCUUUUCUUCCUUCAAUCCGCUCCGAUCCGUCAAAAAUUCGGCUCCCACCCCGAUCCGCCCGGAAUGGAGCGAUAAGUUGGAGCCAAAAAUAAAAUGAAGAGUAACCAGCCCCGAAUCCGCCCCGUCAUGAUAAAAAAUGAAGUAGGAGGUGGUGGAACUCUCCCGCCCCCGGAUCCGCCCCGUUUGCAUCCUUACCCAUGCAGAUACCAACUUUGCAAGAUACUGCCACAAUUUCACAAAUUUUGUUAGGGGUAUGAAUGAAACGCGAAGACCCCAAACAUGCCAUUUGGAACAUUUGCAUGGACAUAAGUGCAAAUGUUCCCACCAGAUGUUAACACCAUCCACAAAGUGCGCAUUCAAAAUUCGAACUACGAGUCUACGACGUGUGAUUGUUUGACUAAGCUAAAGCCUCGGUGCUCUCUCUAUUCUCCUCUCCCUCUUCGUCGUCGUCUUCGUCGUCCUCUUCCCUUUGGGCUCUGAAGAAGAAGAAGAAGAGGUCGUCGCCGAGAGUGUGAGCUCCGCUGAGUUGCCAUGGGCACCCCCUUCUUCUACGAGCUCAAGAAGCAGGCCUCGUCCUUCCUCAAGGACAAGAUCCGCACUGCUCGAUUGGCCCUCACCGAUGUCACCCCCGCCGAGUUGUGAGACCCCCCAAAUCCCUCUUUUUUUGAUUUGAUUUGAGUUUUACUGCAAAAUUCUCGAUCUGGAUGUUUCAUUUUUCUGCGUUAAGGCCUCACAUAGGCGACUUUUAGACUUAGUUUCGGUUUUUUCUCCGUGAAAUUUCAUAUUUUGUUCAUCGAGCCCCUCAUAUUCCUUUUUUUGACUUGAUUUGGGUUUUACUCCGUUAAUCUCGCUCUGGAUAUCUCAAAUUUUUUUUUAAUCUCCAUUAAGCCGAAAAAUUGCUUUUCAUUUGAUUUGUUUUUUCUGCAUAUUUCUAUUUUGUUAUUAAUUUUUACUUCGCUUAGCCCCCUAAAAAUCCGAAUUUUUUUAUUUGAUAUGGGUUUUUGCUAAAAAUCUCGAUCUGGGUGUUUCACUUUUCUCUGUUAAGGCCACAAAAAACCUGAAAUUUUGACUUGUUUUUGGUUUUUCUGCAUAAAUCUCGAACUGGUUAAUUCAGAUCUUUUGGACCAAAAAAAAAAAGAAUCUGAUUUUUGUACUGAUUAGGCUGACGGAAGAAGCAACAAAUGGAACUCCGUGGCCACCGGAGACGAAGACGAUGGGAUUCAUAUCGCGCUCGGCAUUUGAGAUCGAUGAUUACUGGAGAAUUGUGGAGAUUUUGCACAAAAGGUUAGUCCUAUUUUGUAUUCCAUCUUAAGCCAGGGGAUUGGUUUAUAUAUUGGAACCUAUAGUUCCUGUUCGUUUGAACAUGAUUUGGCUCCUGUAGUUCUAAAGAUGGUAUCAUUCACUGCGGAUAAAUUUCGUAUGAUUGGGAAGUUCCGAAAAGGAAAAUCAGUUAGUAGUUUGGUUAAUAAAAAUGUAGUCUUGCAACAUAGAGGUACAGAGAUGUAAAACCUUCAAUGCAAUUAUGUUGUGUGCUUUCAUUUUUGGCGUAACAAAACUUAAUGUGUAGUGAAUAAUUCCUUUAAAGAGGAUUAGUCGAUGAUUGAUGAAAUUCCUAAGUUAUAGUCGAAUAGUGUUUAGCUAAUCUUUUCUUUUAUAUAAUUUUUUUUUGUCGCAUAAUUUUUAAAUAAUUGUGACUAUGGUUUAAAAGAGACUAAUUUGAUGUUUCCUUGUUGGUGGAUAGGUUCUCAAAGUUCGAUCGAAAGCAUUGGAGAGAGCCCUACAAGGCUUUGGUACUUCUCGAGCAUCUCUUACUACACGGACCAGAGAGCGUUGCAGAAGAGUUUCAAAUUGAUAAAGAGUUUAUACAGGAAUUGGGUACCUUUCAAUACAUCGAUGAAAAGGGGUGAGAAAUUAGUAAUUUUGGUAGGUAUAUUUGGAUUUUUUACUAUAUGGUAAUCUAGCUAAUUUGUUGAAUAAUCUUUGAAGGUUUAAUUGGGGAUUAACUGUGAGAAUGAAAUCAGAAAGGGUCUUAAAACUGCUCGAGAAAGGGCCACUUCUUAAAGAGGAAAGGGAUAGGGCUCGAAAGGUCACUCGUGGAAUCCAAGGAUUCGGUAGUUUCAAUGUGCAUUAUUCACCUACCAAUAAUCAUAAUCCGAUUGAAAAUUCUUCGAAUUGCUAUGUGAGAAGCAAUUCGCACUACGAAGAUUACCCUACGCAGGAAGCAGUAGUCCUAGAUGAUCAAAAGGAGAGCUUCAAUACGAAUUCAUCGAUCCAUAAAGAUGAAUCAGGAGAAAGAUCAAUGGAAGAAAAUCUCAGUGAUAAGAGUUUGAAACCACAGGAGGAGACAGGAAGUGUUUUUCCUGUAAAGGGACUCAUACUUGAGGAGUCGAAACCACUCAUACCUUUCAAAGAAGUGAAAAAGACCGAGUUUCAAAAAGUACUUGGGUGGUCGAAACCACUCAUGCCUCGCGAAGAAGUGAAAAAGGUCGAGUGCUUUGAGUCGCAGUUACUUCUAAGUCAAAGUUGAGGAUGUCUGUUCAAAGAGUUUAAGGGAUAUGAGGCUUCAAGAAAAGCCAAUGGCACAAUAGCUUAUAAUUUGCUAAAGAAGAUUGUGGCGAAGGCUUGAAGCAGCUUCUGAAGAAUUUCAUGAAGUGCCAUUUUUAGGUUUGAUAGUAGACAUCGCGUCUGCAAUGUUACUUCUCUUGCAUAUCUCUGUAUCUGUAGACUCUUUUGUUGUCCAUGUUUCUGGUGUUGUUAAUGUGGGGCUUUUAGUUUGAAUAUCUAUAGAGAAAUGUGAACAAAUGUGUUAAGAUGUAUGCUGUGUUAAAAUAUAAACUAAUGUGUUUUGUUUUCUUGUGCAAUGAUACAAAAAGUACAUUACCUUCGGAUUAAACUUUCAAAGCUUACCUGAACUGUAGUGCAUUUUGAUAGGUAGUUAAACUUUUAAAGUUUUUAUUUUACUAUCUGACCUUAGUAUUUUUGAUAAGGUACUAAAACCUUACAAGUUUUGAUUCUACUGUUAAACCUUACAGUAUUUAUUACAUAUUUGAUGGAAUAACCUGUGAAGUAUUAUGAAAUAUUCUGGUGAAAAUGCUACGAGUACUGUAAGGUUGUGCAGUAGAACUAAAAUUUUCAGAGCUCAGGCACCUUUUUCAAAAAUGCUGCAAGAUCAAGUAGUAAAUUCAGUAAAUUCAAAAAACUUUCACAAGUUAGAUAUCUAUCAAAAUAAGUACUAAAGUAAAACUUAAUUUACUUCACAAAAUCAUUAGCUUGUAGAAAAUCUAGAAAUUGAACUUACAUAUGGGUUGAAUUGAGGAGCAGAAAUGUAUGCACAGUUAAAACCUGCACAGUUAUUUACAGCAGAGAGAUUGAAGUGGCAUUAUUCAUGGCUGACAGAUUAAUGGAGCUUACAUCAUCAGGAAAGCAACCGAAUCCACUAAGUCGGCGAACAUCAUGGAUAACGUGGAUGACCCUCAAAUAUAGGAUGAUAAUCUCCCUCUCAAGUUUGUGCAUUAGGUGAAAGUUUAAGUCUCUUUCUUUUUGUUGUUUUGCUAGCUUCUGGUGGAAGCUCAGGCUAAUAUGUUUGUGAGGACUCGAGCUCUCUGUUUUGCACUAGAAAACAUGCAAAAGAGAUGAUCUCAGAAGAGUAUUAUAAACAAGCUCCUCGGAUACUGUUACAUGUUUCAAUGACCAAAUUGUGAGAAAAUGACCAGCACUAUAGAACAAUUUGAGGUCAUCUGCUUAUCCUUCAAUUCACAGGACGUAGUCAUAAAGAGUAUCAGAAAAAAAAAAUAGAAAAUGAUCUCCUCAGUUACUACUUGCUGAGGCUUUUAAAGGAGCAAUAAGGCUCAAAAAUACUUCAAGAAAACACUUAAAAUUACUGUUCUUUUUAUCUGGUAAUAUUUAUUCACAGGGGUUGGGUAUAUCUUUCCAAAAAUCUACGCUACUUAAAUUCAAGUCUCUAAUUUUGGGGGAAAAGAAAAGCUCGACUGAAUAAAAGGAAUGCAGAAACAAGCUUAAUUUUUUUCGCAUCUAUCCCAUGUGUUCUACUCAAUCUCUAAGAGCAUAGAAACAAAAUUAACCUAUUGAUCUAAAAUGUUUAUGCUUCAUACUAGGAGCCAAACAUAUGCAAAAGAGAGGAAGUUUUGAUCAAACAGCAACACAGAGGCAUUUAUUUGUGGAACAAAUCUCUGACUAAGAAAAAAGGGAAAGAAUCGGACAAAUAUGUUAAAUCUAAAGAAGGGGACCAAUUUGCCAUACUUUCUGAUUAUCAACAAAAUACUGAAUUCUUUGGACAUAACCAUGUAUAACACAUUACAGUUUACUUCAAAUGGCUCAAAUCAGAUAGCGUCGUGGCAACUUGCACCAAACUGUAAAGCACGGGAGCGGAGAACAUCUCGUGCAGUUUCUCUUCUUUCGGCAGAUCCUUCAACUGUUCAGGAGGUGGUUGGGGAGUCCACUCUGUAGCUUGAUCAGUAUAGUAUAUAUUACAACUGCACCAGGUUGGUAGAGAGGAAAAAAAGAACAGGAAAAGGCGAGGGCUUUUCUGUGAAUCUCUAUAACUCCAUAUCUCAUCUGUAUCUUUAUUUACACACAAGAUCUCCAUAUUCUUCCUUCCAAAGAGAUGACAAUGAUCGAUACAUCAUCGUGAUAUCGUCGCCGAUCUCCAUGUGGUAUCUCAAGCAACUCAUGGAAGUCCAUUCCUGAAAACAAAAAAUCUUUUAAUAUUUAGAUGCUUGUCAAAUUGUUAUAGGUUUUUUGCAUAUUAAAAAAUAUCGCUACAACAUCAACUACUCACAUAUAUACCUUAUGAAAACUCUCAAAUUAUAGGUUUCUAAUUAAACCUUAUACUUAUGUUUACGGAAAUAUAAGAUCAUACCUGCUUUAUUAGCUGCCCGAAAAAGGACUUCCUCUACAAGAUGUUGAGCAGGGUCACCCUCAGGGGUCAUUGCAAUGAACAUCUCGACUUGUGCGACGGCCUCUUCAUUGGUGAAGUAUUGGUAGAGACCGUCGGAUGAUAGUAGCAAGAACCGAUCAUUUGGACCGAGCUUAUAGUGGUAGAGAGAUGGGUUACAUGUGAUGUACGGAGAAGUCCCGACGUAGUCUAUUUGGAACAUCUCAAGAAGUGCACUGUUCCAUUUUGGCUGCAGAAAAAGAAGAUAUACAUAAGAAUAUUAAGACUGCAAGAAGUUGUAGUAUUACGAAGUUCGAAUUUUUUUUUUUUUUUUUUUUUUUGAGAGAUAGGUAGCACGCUACCCGCUUCGUUUAUUUCAUUUAAAAAUAAAUUUAGCUGGAAAUGUGAAUCAACUAGGAUUCGAACUUGGGUCUCGGGUACCAACCACCAAGCCCUUUGACACUUGCUCUAGGGAUUCGAAUUUAUAAAAAGCAGUAAAAUCAAUGUGGUGAAUGGUUAAUUUUUGUGUGGAUAAACAAAGAAUCAGAUGUAUCUAUUUUGUUUUCCUAGCAAUUUACGUCACCGGUGAGAAAGUGGUAGAGAAAAUCAUGUAUGGGUAUUCCAUGAACUCUUUUCAAAUCUACCACUUGAUCAGAAUCGAAACUCUAAACAAGCUUUACUGAGUGUACUAGCUUUGAGUCAGAAAGAUAAACUACUGAAUUAAUGCUAGUAGGCUAAUAAGCAUAAAUAAAAAGAGAAACAAACCGGCAUGUUCACCACUUCAGAAUUUUUUGAAUCAGACAAUUAAGUUUUGAAUAGCAUAUUCUCCCUUUCUACUUUUUGUUCGAAAACUAAAUAAAUGGCAGAUUCUUAAGGAUCAACCUUGCAGAUAAUAUAACCGACAAUCUACCGCGCAUCGAAAGAGAAAAGGCAACAACUGUCAUAUUACGUACACUCGAUCUUUCUUUUCUUUCACGAGUAAAUUUAGGAUUAAAAAGCUCAAUUGAAAAGGGUAAUUGACUUCUACCAAAUGCACACAGUAUGAGAGGCCACAAUCAUGUUCCAAUCCGCCAAACAAAUUUUGCCAAAUUUACUUCUCUGAAUCAUCUAUUACAGUACUUUUUGGUAACUGGAAAUUCAAGUUAAAGUGCAUUUUCGUCGUGAAGAACUUCGUAUCAUCUUUGAAUAAAAGAAAAGAAAGGACUCUCAAUUGUCCAUGUCAUCAGGACAAAGUCUUUUCAUUCCAUGAUUUGCCGCGAAUUGCAUUGAAUUGAUACAGCAUUUAAAGCAUCAAACCUAGGGAAUUUUUAAAGUAUUUGAAAGUAAUUAAUCUAGAUGCAAGCAAUCUACCUGUUUCAGGAAGCCAGCACCAAAAGCUCUUGUCACCUUCAGCGAGCCCUUCACGCGAUCAUUGACAAUGGCUGAAGAAUCGUCAGGGUGCUCAUUCCUUAUUCUGCGAACUUCCUGAGACCAUUUAACCAAACCAAUCUCAUCACCCAAAAUAUGACCAAAUUAAAUCAAAAUAAUUAUUACAACAUCCUAACAAGCAUUACACCCAAUUAUUAUUUGAUGCGAUAAAUUAAACUGAUUAUCAAAAGCAUUAGAAAAAUAACGAGAUUAAAUUAAACUAUAGCAAAAAUUGAAGUAAUGAGAAAUCCAAAAAGACCCCAAUUACUUACUUCUUCAACACAAGUACUAUGAUCCAAGGUAAGCUGCCGCGCCGACAAGCUAUGCAGAUACCCUCCGAGAUCAUCCAAAAACUCCUCAUUGAUCUGCUCGAGGCCCGUACCGGCCGAUCUUCGAGAUCCGUGCUCCGAUUGCGAGGCCAAGAUGGCGCGGCUGUCGCCGACGUUCAUGAGAUACACAUCCUCCCCCUUCAUGACCAUCACCAGAACACACGAGCCCAUCAAGGCCAACUCAGGAUUUUCAUCGAGCAUCUUAUCCGCGGUGUCCAAAUACUCCUCCUCUGUUUUCUUGAGCGCUUUGGAGAGGGCCUUCAACACCUCCACGUGGCUAGACGUGAUCGGUCUCCGGCUGGGAUCGGACGGUCGGGAGAGAUCUCUACUAGCUCUCCUCGGCUUCCCGGCGUUGACCGGCGGGCGUUGACCUCCGCCGCCGCCGCCCUCGUCGUCGUCCCAGAGGAGGCCCCUGAGCUCGCGGUGGACGGCGGUGUAGAGGUGGGACAGGAGGUAGUCGGUGGCGUCGGGGCCGUUGAAGCCGUCGUAGAUCCCGACGAAGACCCAGCCCCCGCCACCGCCGCCGCCGCCGGAGGGGUCGGCGGACGGGGCGUCGUCCGGGGACUCGGAGACGACGACGUGGACCCUGUCCUCGCCGGCCUUGCCCUGCGCCCACUGGAGGGGGAGGGUUAAGGUUAGGGUUUGGGGAUCGGGGGAGGCGGAGUCGGAUCGCUUCGGGGCGAAGGCGGAGGAGGAGGGGACGGCGCGGGAGAUGAUGGCGUUGGAGAGGCCACGGAGGAUGGACGCUGCGGAGGCGAGUGGGCGGGGGGGCCGGGGGAGGCGGCGGCGGCGGGGGAGGCGGAUUGUGUGGGAGAGGCUGCGGCGGAGGAGGGUGGAGGAGGAGGAGGAGGAAGUGGGGGAGGAGGCCCGGGGGUCGAGGGGCCCGGAGAGGAAGCCGCGCUCGAUGGGGCCGGAGAGGAAGCCGCGGUCGCCGGCGAUGGGGCCGGAGAGGGGGCCGGAGGAGAAUGAGUCGGAGCUCUCGAACGCACCUCCGCCGCCGCCGACGCCGGAGUCGGAGGAGGAGGAGGCGGGGGGGAGGAGGAAGAGCGAGGUGGAGAGCGGGGUGGAGGCGUUGGCGCUGAUGGCGGCGCCGGAGAUGGAGCGGAACGUCGUCGUCUCCUCUUCCACCACCGCCGCCGGAGGAGGAGGCGUUGGCGCUGAGGGGGGCUCGGGGCGGAGGUAGCAGAAGGAGUGGCCGAACCCCUCGUCGCAGGGGUCGGAGGGGAGGGCCGCCGGCGCCACGUGGCGGCGCCGGAUUUGUCGCGGCCCCCCGGCGAAGCAGAGCGUGAGCUUCGCGCAGCCGUUGCCCAUCCUAUUGCUAUUGCUAUUGCUAUUGCUAUUGGUUCGUGCUGGGAAAGAAGAGAAGGAGAGAGAAUAGCUUAGAGAGAGAGAGAGAGAGAGACACAGACACACACACACAGGGGAUGUGGUGGUGGUGGUGGUGGUGGUGGAGGAAUGGAGGAUGGGAGGAGAGUUGACUUAAGGGAGUGGGUGGGAGUUGAAAUGUUGGAAUUGGUUUUUCUUUUUCUUUUUCUCUCUCUUUUUUUUUUUGAUUUUUCUAUUUUUCUAUUUUAUUUCUCUUCUUCCCACUUAGGCGUUGACCCGUGAGGGGGUCUCCGCCAACCCUGUAGUUCCUGGGCCGCAGAUUUGUUAGCGGGGGAAGAAGGAUUUCUUCUUCUUUUUUUUCCCUUUUUUUCUUUUGCAGACCAGUCCAGAAGCUAAAGUUUAGCGGGGGAAGUUUCAGCACACUCGCAAGCAAAAUGCAAAUUACACGAAAUAUAUAGAUUAGAAAUGGCCCGCAAAAGCGAAGGGGGAGAGGGGAAUACAGAGAGAGACAGAGAAUGUGGGAAAUUUGUCAAAGGAGCGCGGCUGCGCAGGAAUGCGUGCCGCAGGGGUGGUUGGAUCGUGAGCGGGAGUUGACCGACACGUGGCGGUCGGAGGUGGUGUCGCCGUGCGGGUUCGUCCAACCUGCUCCCGCGUCGGAUGCCGGGGGAUCCGCUGCAUGCACCACAAAGCCUACGUACAAGGGAGGUCCAACAAUAUGCCGACACGUGCACAUUCUCUCCGCAAUUCCCUUCAUUUUGUUUUAUUUUAUUUUCCUCAGUACUUAGUACUUGUGUUUUUUAAUUCAUAAUAAUAAUAAUAAUAAUAAUAAAACUUAGUUGCUGGCUCUAAUUGUACUCUAGCUGAGUUCAAAAUUUGAGCUGUCUAAGCCCAUCCGUGCUUUUAAUGGGGCAGAAAAUUUUGAAAUAAUUUUAGGAGUUUUUUUUUUUUCCUCUUUAAAUACAUGGUUGUAUAUUACAGUGGUAGCUGUCGAUGCAAAAAUGCUAAUCCCUUAUAAUUUAUUGCUUACGACACGAACGAAAAUUUAAAGUUUAAGUCUUUAUCUUUGAUUGCUGUCAAAUGUUGUUGGAUGUUAUUUCUCUAAUAAGAUUAGAAAUGCUUGCAAAGCGUAAAAUUAAUAAACACUAUCUGAAUUGCAUCUUCUUAAAUGCUUUAUAAAUUUAAUUAAUAAUGAUAAGAAUGGCACCUUUUGCAACAUAUGUAUGAUUAUGCGGAAAUGUAUAGAAGUUAAUUUCACUUUCUAUAAGAAUAUUUCUUUUAUGUCGAAAAAGGAGAAAAAGUUGGAUGUGAUAAAUAAUAAUGAUGAGGAGGCAACAACUUAAUAAAAUCCAGCCAUGGACCUAAGACCAACAUUUAUUGCAAGAAAAAUAUGAAACAUGCCCCAAAACAACAAGGUAUUUUUCGAGAUAAAUAAAUAAAUUAAUAACCACUUAUUUCAAUUAACAACUAAGUUUCUUUUACUUUUGAAUUUAUUGGUUGAAAAAUUGCUCUAAAAACUUUAAUAAAUACAUUAUUCUAUGCAGUAAAGAAAUUUUUUUUUUCUCUUUUCUUCUAUUUUAUGAUGGUAUCUUGAUGCAUUUAAUUUUGUGUAGGUUUUAGUUGGGAGAAAUGGGGAGGUGGGGAUUCUUUAAUGAGCGUAGUUUGUUGGUAUGUGUGGAAUAAAUGAUACGGUAGAAAUAAAAGGUGGUAAUUGUGGCACCGGAUCAAUGAGGGGUGUGGGACUUGAGUGGGAGUAAAUAUUAUAAGUAUAUUGCUUAGAAUUUUUCGUAAUUAUCAUGCUGAUAAAUAUUAACAGAGCAAUAUAAUACAUACAUUCAAAAGAAGAUAUAUAAUGUAUACCGCAUUCAUUCAAAAAGAAAAAAAAAUUUCGAGCUACGUUGAUGUGACAGGGAAGAGCUAGCCUCUAUAUUUUAGAAUAUGUAGGGUGUAAAGAUAAUAUAUUUACCACAUUAAUGUAUAAGUACACCUGUAUAAUACUUAUUCUGAAAGCACACACGUACAUACGUGUGUGUGUGUGUGUGUGUGUGUGUGUGUGUGUGUGUGUGUGUGUGUGUGUGUGUGUGUGUAUAGAAAUAGAGUUACCUGCUGAUUAAAGAAUCACAAAAUUAACAGUUUUUUACGAUCUAUAUGAGUUGUUUAUUUGUUUAACGAUGUAGAGCAAUUCAAACUGGUUGAAUUUUCGAUAAAAAAUCGGUUAUAUUAUUUCGAUAGUGUUUAAUAAUUCCGAUUAUGAAUUGAGAAAAUUUAAUAUAUAUUUUCACAAAGUUAUUUAUUUUUAACUGUUUAUUUUUCGACUCUUUGAUGGACUUGAUAACAAUUUUUAAAAUUUAUGAAAUUUAAUUUUUAGACGUUUUAAAUACUCUAAAUCAACUUUAACGACUCCGAUCAUCGAUUUGAAAUCUCUAUCAUCUAAAACGAUUUAGGAAGACGAAGGCCUCCGUCCUUCUAAAAACAAAGCAGCUGAACUCUCUCUUUUUAUAUAUAUAGAGAGUCCAGCUAUUAUACUAUCAAUAGUACUAAGCAUUUAGUGCUACCAAGUUUUUCGCCGUUAGAUCUCUUUUUUUGACUAUUUUUAUCUGUUAAAUUAUAUUAUUGAACCAAAAAUCCACUCAAUUCUGGGGGAUUACUAUCAUCCUAAUCGUAUAUCUCUUUACUUCAAAAGCCGAGUCGCACUAAUAUCUUGAUGCUAUUAAUACUAUAGUUGUCCGAAUCUAUAUAAAUAUAUAUAUAUAAAUCGAUUAAAUCUUCUACAUUAUGGGCAUCAGCAAAACAGUGAGAGAUAGAGAGAGAGAGAAAAAAAAAAAAGUGAAUAGUGUAAUACAUAAAUCUUAGGCUAGGAAUAGAUCAAAGAGGGAUUUAAUUUGGGUGUGUGGUUGGUGAUGUCACACUCCAAUUGAUUCCCACUGGAUUCAAAAGGACAUACCAGCUCAGCAUAAUAACUACCCCUUUUGGAUUCUUUUAGGCCAUUCCAUGAUCAAUGUUUCCUAGCCUUUGACUUUUUCAAUUUUAAUAUUUUUGGUCCAUUUUUUAAAAGGUUAUGGUUGGAUUAAUUAUUCAUGGAAAAUCUCGUAGAUCAUUGCCCUUCUAUCAACAGUAAUUUGAUUUUUUUUUUAUUUUUUGUGUGUUGACGAUUAAUUUGUGCACAUGUACUUUGGAGUUUACGUUACUCUUGUACAAUUUUAUUAAGCAUACGUAUACAUGCGCACACGAAAGAAGAGAAAGAAGAAGAAGAAAAUGUGUAAUAUAUAUAGAAGCUCUUUCAUGGAGUUGAAAAGGAAGAUGAAAUACCUUCUGCAAAGAUACAUCCCGUCGCAUACACACCAUCGAACUUUAAGCACAUAAAAUUUUGAUAAAUAUAUAAAUGGUUAGUUGUUCUCAAAAAAAAUAUAUAAAUGGUUAGUGGAGUUUGAGCAACAUCUUGUUCGUGUGCUUGUUACAAAAUUUUCCGAACUUGCUUCUUUUUUUUUUUUAAGAGCUUGAUUGAAUUUACAAGUUUCUUCCAUGUUGCGCUUCACAUAUAUAAUAAUUCUUUUUUGGGAAAACUUUAAAAACCCUUGUAGUUUUACUUUUUUUUAUUUUAGUAUCCUAUAGUUUAAAAUGUAUCAAAUUAGUACCACGUGAUUUCUCACUUUAUCACUUUAGUACUCUGUGGUUUAAAGUGUAUCAAGUUAGUACCCGUGGUUUUGCACUUUAUCACUUUAGUACCAUGUGGUUUCGUACUUUAUCACUUUAGUAUCCUGUGGUUUAAAAAUCACAGGGUACUAACUUGAUACAAAAUUAAAACCAGAGGGUACUAAAGGGAUAAAGUAUAAAACCACAGGGUACUAACUUGAUACACUUUAAACCACAUGGUACUAAAGUGAUAAAGUGAAAAAACACGGGGUACUAACUUGAUACACUUUAGACCACAGGAUACUAAAAUGAAAAAGUAAGAAACCACAGGGGAGAUUUUUGAAAUUUUUCCUUUCUUUUUUUAAUUACUAUUGGAGGCCUUUCUUUACUUAUCAUUUCUUGUUACUCAUACGUAGUAGGCGAUGGUGCGUGGAUUAUGUUGAAUACUCACGCAUAUUUAGUACAAAGUAUCAUUUAGAGCCAAAUAGGCUCUAAAAGUAGAACUUGUUAAUAUUAACUUAAUUGUAUGACCUAUUUUUAUGAAAUUUAUAACCUAAAGCCACUAAAUAAACACUAGUGUUUGCCUACAUAUGUCUAGCUAUAAGAUGGAGUAGGUUAUCUUCAUUUCAUUAUUAAAACCAUAGAAAACAUAGAUGAGAUAAAAGGAUCGAGGGUGUACCUAAGAACCCUAAUUCUAAAUUCCUAGUGUGAAUUAAGUCUCCUCUCACUAAUACUUUUAUAUAUCGUUUUUUAAGAUAAUCCAUUGCACAUGUAUGAAAGUGCUCAAACUAAGCCCAAUAAUGCGAAGGAAAAUGAGAAAAUUACAUGCAUAUCCUAUAAAAUUAGUUAUUUAAGUCCAUACAUACCCUUUGAAGUUUUUUAUAAUUUACAUUUGCGACCUACCAUUAAUAUUUGGAUAUCAUAUGUACCAUUCAGAAAAUUCACCUUUCUAUUUAUUUUUUUGUAUAUGUAUAUAGAAAACUAUUGUGUUUAAUUUACGUAAUACUCCUAUGUGAAAGGUUUUUUUUUUUAUCUUUUUCCAAUUCACAAUCAAUUUAUAGAAGAAAAUUUCAAAUUAAAGUCAAAAUUCCAAAGAAACAAUAUGCAGAUUGAUUUUAUGAUGGUAUAAAUGUAAAUAGCAAGUUUUGUAGGUUAUAUAUAUAUAUUUAUGUAAAAAUCAAGUAACCAUGCCAUCAAUGAAAGAGACAUUUUUUUAGUAGUUCUAUGCAAGUGUCUUUAUUUAUUUUUCCUUGGUCAAUUAUCUAUCAGAUUGUCCAGGGGUUUCCUAAUCCAGACAGAGGAGACAAUGGCCAUUUGCACCAAAUCAUGACAUUAUUCUACAAAUAUUUUCUCCCACAUAUUAAUUGCAUAUUGUCAAUGUCAUAACAUAUGUAUAAUGUCACAUAUGUAAUGCUCCAGAUAUGCAAAAAGAUUCGCCAAGUUGACGAGUUAGAAUUUUAAUUUAUCAUCUGAACAUGAUGCAAAUGUGAAAAAUUUUAAUCCCAAACGCAAAUUUUGGGGGAUGGGGCUAACUAAUCCUAUCCUAAAUGGACUAGCCCGGAUUAGCUCAUUUAGGGUGGGAUAGCUAACCCCACCCUACCCCAAGAAUAGGGGUGGGAUUAAAGUUAAUCCCACCCCUAUUUAAUUUUUAAUAUAAUUUUAAAAUUUUAAUUUUAAAUUAUAAAUUUUUAAAAUUUAUAAUAUGUAAUCUUAAAAUUAAUAGUAUUUUUUUUAAAAUUUAAAUUUAAAUUAUUUAAAUUUUAAAUUUGACAUUAUAUAUUUAAAAAUUUUAAAGUAUUUAAUUUGUAAUCUUAAAAUUAAUAUUUAUAUUUUUAAAAUUUAAAUUUAAAUUAUUUAAAUUUUAAAUUUGACAUUAUAUAUUUAAAAAUUUUAAAGUAUUUAAUUUGUAAUCUUAAAAUUAAUAUUUAUAUUUUUAAAAUUUAAAUUUAAAUUUUAAAUUUUAAAUUUUAAUUUCAAAUUUUAAAAUUUAAAAACUAAAAUUUAAAUAUAAAAAUUAGGAUAAAAUUAUUAUUUUCUAUUUAUAACAACCCGCUAUCCUUCUUAUUCCACCUACUCCAACCAAACACUAUUUUACUUAUAUCUGGACUAAACCUAAUUCUUAACCAAACACAAAAUUACUCUAACUCGACCUUAACUCUGAACUUAACCCUAUUUCUGAAAUAACUAGUUUUUACUUAACCCCGAACCAAACGGAGCCUUGAGUAUCAUCAGCAAGUUCUCACCUUACAAAAGCUGACUCACGAAAUACAUAUAUACUAGGGUACCAUAGAAUUAUUCAACUUAUACUGGUCAUAGAUCAUUAACACAUCUUUGAAAUCUCACAUGAGAUGGAGAGUCACAAAUAGGAUAUUUAGAUGAGAUCCUUUGACUUUCUUGGAGUUUGGAGUAAUUCUGGCCAAUUAGGAGCUAUUCUUGCAGGGAUUUGAAUUCUAAAGCACUUUCAUAGAUAAUCUUAUUAAUUAAAGAAUUGCUUUAGUCAAAAGAAAUCGCCUAAAUCCUGUUUUCAAAGAUCCUUGUGGACUAUGUGACAUCUGUUAACUUAUAUAAAUUUUUAAUAUUUUUUAUCACGUGGCAAGUUGUCCUUCGCCCUUACCAUCAUUUGACCAUUUUCAUUUCCUUCAUCAAACUUUUAAUUAAUACAUCUAAACGUUAUCAUUACUAAACUAUCAAUGACAAGUUGUCCUUCACCGCAUUUGACCCUUUCCUUUUAAACUUUCAAUUAAUAUACUUAAUUAAUACAUCUAAACUAUUAUCAAACUUUCAAUGACAAAUUGUUCUUCACCCUAUUUGACCAUUCCCUUUUUCUUCAUGAAACUUUCAAUUAAUAUAUUUAAUUAAUAAAUCUAAACGUUUUUAGUACCAAACUUUUCCUCCACCAAAUUUUUCAUAUUCAAUUAAUUCAUUAAUUCUCUUUUCCUCAUCUUUUUUCAUACAUUGUUGCCUUCCUCCCUCUCUCACUAAUGUGCGCUCAUGUCCCCCCUCCGUCACAGUCGAAAGAAUUGUCAUCAUUUUCACUAUCAUUGUCGUCGGAGAAGGCAUCGUCGGUUCCAUAUAUCGAUCCCUGCUACUAAUAGUGAGGGACCUUUUGUGACUGUAUCAAGUGAGGAACACAAAAAAAUAUUUGAUGUUAUAUAUCUUAUUAUAAAUUACUCCUAUAAUUUUUAUCUACUGCAAAGCGCGGACUCCUUUACUAGUAUAUAUAUUUUUAGUGUUGAAUAUAUAACUAUGCAUUAAAUUGCUCAUUUCUAGAAGGUUAAGCUUUAAACACAUGGUUGGGUAGCGUGUUAGCCUUUUUUUUCAAAAAACAAAAUUUGGCAUGGUUGUUUUAUUUGAGAUCGUACGUAGAUUAAUUGUUGAAAAUUCUUUGAUUAAGAAAAAAAAUAUAUAUAUCUUCUGACUUUUAACUUAAAAGGAUACUAUUAGGACUUUCCAGACCAAUCCAUCUUAGAUGGAUGAGGUAUUCGAUUAGGAUCCGUAGUUCUUAGAUUAAUCAAAUCCGGAUUAAUACAUGAUAACGCGGAGUAAAGUAUCGUUAAAACCUUCAUUAAAAUUGCAAAUAUUCCUAGAGCAUGCAACAUCUUGAGCUAACAUUCCAGUUGACUUUUCACUGUUAUGGACGAUAAUUAAGGAAGGAACUUCAAGUAAAUCGAUUUGGAUCUAUAAAGGAUCUAACUUUGAUCCGAUAAGCUUUAUUAUCUUCUUAAUUUAUUUCCUUUUCUUUUUGGAAACAAGUGUAUGAUUGCAUGGGCGCGGUGACCCGGUUCAGUUCGCGAUGAUAGCGGCGAUGGCCGGAGCAGCAGCAAUAGAUACUUAUGGUGGGGUGAGCAUUAUGGUGACACCCUAACACUUUGUUUUGGUUAGUGGAUGUUAGGUCGUAUCGCAUACCAAUUACAAACCUAUUAAAUGACAUACGUGAGAAUUGAAUAUGGCCUCUUAUAAAGUUUAGAAUGUUUAUACUUUUUCAUAUUUUUCAGAAAAUCAACUCUGAUAUCAUGUAUCGUCCAGAAUAAUAAUAUAUAUACGAGAAAAAAAUGUGUUUACUAUAUUUGCUGCAUCAAAAAUUGAGCACCAACAUACCAUCUCUAUUUUCAAUGAACCCUAUUCAAGAAAUAACUAAAGCAAGCCUUAGGAAGGAUGUCCACACAAUAACUACUCCAUGAAUAUCACAUGCUUUGAUGUUUGGUAAUAAUCAUUUAAAUAAAACUCUCAUUCUUAGAGUCAGCCUUAGGAAGGAUCCCAAAGUCUCCAUUGGAAAUUUAAACAACAAAAUUAAAGAAGAAUAGUUCAAAUCAAGACCUAAAAUCUUACUCUUAGACCUCUCAAAUUAAUCUUCUAAACAAGCACAUGGAAGUAGUCCACCAAUUCAUGCAUGUGUUUUUCCGACUCUUUACCCUUCUUAAUUGUCUUUUACUUGCUCUCACAAUUUAGGACUCAAUUGUUCCACACAAGUAAGAGGUUUGUGUGCCUCCAAGUAGAGCUUCUGUACUUUUCUUUCUUUUUUUGAGAAAUAGAUAUAUAGUAUGCUAUUCGUUUCGUUUAUUUUAUUUAGAAAUAAACUUAACUGGAAAUAUGAAUCAAUUAGGAUUCAACCUUGAAACCUCGGGUACCAAUCACUAAACCCUUUACCACUUACGCUAGAUACGGUCGGUGAGCUUCUAUAGUUGGUUGGAGAUCGAAUUUGUGUUAGCAUUUUCAUUAAAAAUCGCUCUACCAGCUUUAGAUGUUUUUGAAAAUAGAAAGUUUUCUCAUUUUAACUUCUCCUCACAGCCAGAAACUGAUCAUAUAACUUUUUGUCGGCUAAAUGAGUCUUUUUUCUUAUCAAAUAGGGAAAUCAUUUCAGUAGCCGAACCAAUUUAAUAAACAUAUAACAUGUAAUUGUAGGCGACGAUGCAAUCCAAAAUUUGUUCUUAUGCUCAUGUGAAUUGAAUCCUAAUUAAUUCAAAGGAAAAUGGGGGAAGUGAUAGACUUUGCAAAAUAUCAACAAAAUUUUCUUAUUCCUCCUACUUUUCAACCCAAUGACUUUGAACCCUAACAUCCAUGAGCCAUUUUAGGAAAAAUUGUUCCCCUCAUUACUAAAAGUCUAAUUAAUGAUAUAUUAUAUAAGGUGAGGGGUUUUGACUCUUGCGUUUUGACAUCAUGAGCCGUUGAAAAUGGUCUAUACGCGGCGGAUAUACCCCACGUGUCCGCCACUAGUAGGGCACGAGUUAUUAGACAUCAUCUCUUUGGACUUUGACCAUUUGUCAUCAAGGCAUCAACAUCAUGGCCAAACUUUGCAAAAUUGAAUUGGUAAUGUGUGAUCCUCUUUUUUUUUUUUUUCUUUCUCCUCCUCCAUUAGUCUUUGACCGAAAUAGCCUGUUUUGUCCAAUUUCAGCUUCUGCUUCAAGCUGCAGCUGUUUCUAAUAAAGCAAUUCGUAUACAAAACAGUUUGGAGCUCCCGAUUUAGUUUUCUGUUUCGUGUAGUUAGUUUCAAACUUAAAAAAAUAUGGUCGGAAAUUACCACGAGAAAAUAAAAACAAUGCGAUGCAACUGGUCCAACCUAAAAGAUCACUCUGCGAUUAUUAUUAUCGAGUUAAAUUGUCAGAUUUAUUGAUCUAAUAGGUUAUUGGCAUCUGGUACGCAAUCUUUCAAUCGAGAGAACCGCCGACGAACAUCGAACACGAAUGCGACCUGCGGGAUUUUGAUUAUUUUUCCAACUAGUAAUUAAGUCCGAUUCAGACCCAACCCAAGUCUUAUUGGACCAGCUAGCUUUGGUGGGAAUCUAAUAAGAAAGGGAUAUGCUGGCCAGUGAGUGAACACAACACUCAAAGGUGGCGCUAACCGCACUGUGUUAUUAUCAUUACUGUACACCCCUCUCACACUGUUCACUUUACAAAUUCCACUCCACCUUUGUCCUUAUUUGCACAAGUGCGUGCUUUUGGAAAUGGAGCACUUUGUUUCUGGAGCUUGUGGGGGAAACUAAAAGGGGAAAAAGGAAGAGUGUAGGAUUGUGAUGGAGGAAAAAUACAGACCAUACGAACUCAUUGUAUACAAGUUUGUAACAGAUAAGGCGUGUUGUUGUUUUCGGUGGCGAAAACGGUGGUGGUGGGUUCCACUACCAAUCUCAUUUGACUGAUCUUGAAUCGUAUUCUUUUUUCUUUUUCUUUUUUUUCUCUCUGAAAACUGUAACCAGUAGACCUCGUCGUGUGACACCACCAAUUUUAUUGGGCUGAUAAUGAAUGGGCUUCGAUCGUGUUGGAUCGGGCCAACAUGGAUUUCAGUGUCCAUCGGGCACUAUAUCAACUCGUAUGAUUAUUUCUUCGGACAAGGAAAUGAAAGAGCAUGACCAUACCAUAGGAUUGCCCCGUGCGUUGAAUAAUUGUACAUGAUAGUUUGCCCGAAGUUCAUUUGGACGAAUCCGGCCCGAUAUCUUAGGUUCGUAAUCGGAUUGAAUAUCGGAUGAUUCCGGAUUCGAAUCCAACUAAUCGACAGGUCCGAACCAUCUUAUUAACCCGGCUCAACCCAACCGGAUCGUUUUCCUGUUUGCGCCGCGGCGCCUUCCAACUCGGAUUCGAACCGGAAAUUCGAUCAUGGUGUUUCCCGCCGAACCCCACCUCGAGCAUCCCGCGCCCAGUCGCGGGAGAGCCGCGGAGCAACGGUGCCUCGCCCUCCUCCGCCGCGUCUCCUCCCUCUCCUCCCUCCUCCAAACCCUAACCUUUCUCCUCAAAUCCGGGCUCCAAUCCAACCCCCUCGUCCUCACCUCCUUCGCCGUGUCCCUCGUCCUCUCCUCCCCCGCACCCCACCUCCUCGACACCUUCCUCUUCAACACCCUCAUCCGCUCCCUCCCCCCGCCCCUCGCCCUGCGCUCCUUCUCCCUCCUCCUCCGCCGCCGCCUCCUCCCCAACCGCUUCACCUUCCCCUUCCUCCUCAAGGCGUGCGCCUCCCUGCCCCCCGGACCCACCGCCCAGGCCCACGCCUCCGCCCUCAAGUUCGGCUUCGCCGCCGACUCCUUCGUCGAGAACACCCUCAUCCACGCGUACUCCGCCUCCUCCUCCGACCUCGCGUCCGCGCGCAAGGUGUUCGACAGAACCCCCCAGACGAGCCCCGUGACGUGGAGCGCCAUGAUCGGCGCCUGCGUCCGGGGCGGCCGCUCCGGCGACGCCCUCGCCCUCUUCCGGCGCAUGCAGGAGCGCGGGGUCCGCCCCGACGACGUGGCCGUCAUCAGCGUGCUCUCCGCGUGCUCCGACCUCGGCGCGCUCGAGCUCGCGCGGUGGCUCCGCCGCUACGUGGAGCGGUCCCGCAUCCCCAAGUCGCCGGCGCUGUGCAACGCGCUGAUCGACGCCCUGGCGAAGUGCGGCGACGCGGGCGCGGCGCGCGCGGUGUUCGACGAGAUGCCGCGGCGCACGGUGGUGUCGUACACCGCCGUGAUCGACGGGCUGGCGAUGCAGGGGCGCGGGCGCGAGGCGGUGGGGGUGUUCGAGGGGAUGGUGCGGGCGGGCGUGGCCCCGGACGACGUGGCGUUCAUCGGGGUGCUGACGGCGUGCAGCCACAGCGGGCUGGUGGAGGAGGGGCUCCGGUGGUUCGGGGUGAUGCGGGAGCGGUUCGGCAUGGAGCCGAGGAUGGAGCACUACGGGUGCGUGGUGGACAUGCUGGGGCGGGCGGGGCAGGUGGAGCGGGCGGAGCGGUUCGCGCGGGCGAUGCCGGUGGAGGCGAACGCGGUGGUGUGGCGGAGCCUGGCGGCGGCGUGCCGCGUGCACGGGCGCCCGGACGUCGGGGAGCGGAUAGGCCGGCGGCUGAUCGCGGAGGAGCCGGCGCGCGACUCGCACUACGUGAUGCUGUCGAACGUGUACGCGGCGACGCGGCGGUGGGAGGAGAAGGGGCGGGUGCGCAGGCUGAUGGGGCGGAGAGGGGUGCGGAAGGAGCCCGGCUGCAGCGCGGUGGAGAUCGACGGCGAGGUCUUCGAGUUCGCGGCCGGGGGAGGAGGGGGAUCGGGAUCGGAGGCGGAGGCGGAGGUGUACGCGAUGGUGGAGGAGAUGAUGAGGGAGGCGAGGAGGGAGGGGUACGAGGCGGUGGAGGCGGAGGUGCUGGCGGACGUGGAGGAGGGGGAUGGGGAGGCGGGGGCGCUGCGCUGGCACAGCGAGAAGAUCGCGGUGGCGUUCGCGCUGCUGCGGUCGCCGCGCGGGGCCGCCGUGCGGGUGGCGAAGAACCUGCGGGUGUGCGCCGACUGCCACCUCGCGAUCAAGCUGGUCGCCAAGGCCUACGCGCGGGAGAUUGUGCUCAGGGAUCGGAGCCGCUUCCACUGCUUCAAGGAUGGCAUUUGCUCCUGCGGGGAUUUUUGGUGAUUAUUACAAUUUUUCUUUUUCUUUUUGAAUUUUCUCUGCCCUUCUGAAUUUUGCUGUCCAUUAUUUUGUAUCUGUGAUUCUGUAUCCAUCAUAUUAUCAUUUAUUAUUUUUGAAAAGUUUUAUUCCUCAUGAAGGAAACAGUUAUAGGUGGGUCGUAUCCGAAUAAGGGCCCAUUUUGAAUGAACAGAUAACUUAAGUUGUACAUUCCUUCAAUUUACGUAAAUAAAAAAUAUAUAAGAUUUAGCAGAUGAAUUUAGUCGAUGAGAAGUACUUUUAAAUAUGUAUAAUAAAUAUCAUAUUUGACUUUCUACUUUCAAGCCGUUUAUUUUUAAAAUAAAAAGCAUUCAACUUCUUAAACGAACAUACUAUUCUACUAAAUCAUAACACGAAACCGUUUUAAAAAACAAAAAUUAAAUUACUAAUUAUUAGUCCUACAAACCCCUGCCCAACAACAUUUCUUUUCUAAGAAAUAGCGAAAGCGAAUCAAGAGAGAUAAUCAGCAACCAACCUAUGGUAGGUAAUCUGCAAUGAGAUAAACAAGAACAUCAUCCUGAGUUGGCACAUUCCUAUAGAGUACAACUUUUCAGUCCGGUAUGCAAUUAGAAAAAUUGAGCUUCUUCAACCGAAAAAGAAGAAGAAAAUCUUGGAAAUAUAAAAGGAUUGUUGGUUUAAAGAAAUAGCAAGUAACGAACUGGCUCUGUAAAAAUGAUUCCAAUUGUGCCGACGCUUAAGUGCUUUAACUCUCUCUCUGGCUGAAGACUAACAAACACUAAGUUAGGUGUGAAUUUUCCAUAUUCCAAGCCCAUAGCCGACUCGAAUCAGAAUAAGCUCGAAUAGCAUGUGCGCGAUGCUCGUCAGGCGCACUUUUGACCCGGGUAUCUCAGACCAGUUGACCGAGAUCUCGAGCAUUGGGAUCCUGAGUUUCUUGCACAAGUACACAAGCUCAACGUCGAAACACCACCUAGCAUUAAAAGUAAUGUGUCAUCAAAAUAACUUCACAUUUGGCUUCUGCAGAACAUGUUAUACAUCUUUGCACUUUGCAGUCACAGAAGUAGUAGUUGAUAACAUUCAAGUAUAGUUAAAUAACAUUUCUGCAAUUCACGAUUAUCAUUUGAAGGAAACAAGGUUCAUCCAAGUACACCAAUUCAUUUUCAAGGAGAGUAAAGGAAUUUACUGAGAUGACAGACAUAGCAGAUUUACCUCUUCAAUCUGAUAUUUGUGAACAACUUCCGAGCAGCAGCCCUCGUGAACAUCUUAAAACCGCACUGUAGGAGGGAACCAAGUCAUAUGAUAAGUAAAAGGAAUAUUAUGGAGAUCUCGAAAUCAGGCUUACAAAAGAGAACACGAACAACUACAUCACAAUCAUCAUUAAACAUAUUUAGCCAUCGUUUAUUAUAAAAAUACCUGUGUGUCUCGAAUUCCAUGGCCUGCAGUCAGUAAAACUACUAGAUGGAAACCCUUCAUUAGGAAGUUCCGGUACCAUUUCCUCUGAAAAAGGAAAUACAAGAAACACAUAAGAAAAUAAUGCCCUAAAAAAUAAAAUUACAUAUAACAGCACUAUAGGAUAUCUGGUCUAGCUGGAGCUGCAAUAAAAGUGAUUUUCAACUAGAGCGGUUUAGAGACACGAUAAGAGCUCCUUCACUCGAAUAGCCUCAAAAGGUUUUUGAUGCAGUAGCAGUAGAAGCUUCAAAUUUGAACUUCUGAUGUGGGGCCUAGGAGCUCAUUUCAUCACCCAAACCAAAGCAAACACACUACUUUUGGUGUUGGAAACCGUGACUAUUGCUUCUCGGAGUAGAUAAGGAGUUCAUCAAGCCACACCUAACUGUUUCUAAAAAAAGAAAUGAUUUAAGGGUUGGAGCAAAAAGGAACAAACUGUAGCAAGAGCCUGCUUCUCCAAAUGAGCCCGUGAACCACAUGCAGCAAUUUCAGUGUCUGAGAGAUUUGAACUUGAACUAGUAGUAGUAGAAGCAACUGAGUUGACUUUGUUGACACUUCUAGCCAAUUCAUGUAUCUACAGUAAACAGGUAGAUUAAAACCACAGCAUCUUAAUUGCAAUCGCCGCCAGAAAAUUUCAUAUUUCAAGAAAUUACAAAUUUAAGUUUGGGCCAGACCUGAGAUUCAAGCUUUUCUAGGUCGGUCACCUUGGUUGCCCCAUCAGCAUCGAGCAUUAAAAGUAGUUCACCACGUGAGUGGAGCAUUCCCUGUUUAGACAAUGCUUUCGCAAAAUUGGGAAGCAUCAAUCAGAAUUUAAUUCAACACAACUUAACAGUUGAAAGAUAUAAAUAUACUGAGUUGAUUCAAAGGAAAGGUGGAAAGGGAAAGUAAUGGAAAAAGAAAAGAGACUAACUUUUCUGAUAGCUUCUCCUUUUCCAUGGUUUCUGCGAAGUAGAAGAACCCUCACAUUAUCGAUCUUGUACUUCCUCACAUAGUCAAAUGCUACUUUUGCUGUACGAUCAGUACUUCCAUCAUCAACUAUCAACACCUAUAAAGAAUAUAAAAUCCAGAAGAGAUCUCAACAUUCUUCAAGAGAUUAGAAAAGCAUACUACCAUGCCAUAAGGAAAAGUAUGAUUUAUUAAUUCAGCAAGUUAUCCAUGCAAGCAUAUACUCAAAACCUAACCCUAGCUUGCCUGAUCCAGGUCAUAUAGAUACAGAGUCAAUGGAGAUGCACCAAGAAUCAGCCCUACUCCCACCCAUACAUCCGUGCAUAUUUAUAUUGCAAACUAUCUUGCUAAGGACAAUAUUUUAUAAAUAGCAUUCUCAACACUGAAAUCAAACAAUUAAUACUAAACUUUGAAACAGGGUCUUAACUUAUUGACUAUAAAGAAUGUAAAAGAAUGUAACAAACCACUCAAAGUAUAUUUAGCCUUUACUAUGUAGUAUUAGAUUAAAUAAAAAGCGACCAUUGCUUUCCUCUCUUGCCUAAGGGGACACGUAAAUGCUGCUUCCAUCCCAACAAAAAGGAAAAAAGGGGAGAAAAUAAAGCAGUCUAGGUGCAAAACAAGACUAAUUCACAGGAACAAUAUAUCUUCUUCUUUGUGCAAUAGUGAAUGUCUGAUUGACUUUACAUGCGAUCAUAUGCAGAGACCAAAUUCAACUUGAGUUUAGACAUAGAUAUCAGUCUCAUUGUUGUUCAAUGAGUUGAAUAUACUUGAGUUUCUGAGUUUCCUAUGUACCUCAUAAGUAAAGGACUUUUCUGUUGCUGAACGUUGUUGUAGAUAACUGCAAAAAAGGGAGAAAGAUGUUUAUAAGUAGCAAACUUCAAGCCCCACGUUAUCAACCCCCACCCCCCACACCCCCACUCUUUCCCCCUUUUCUCCUCUUUUCUCCUUUUCUCUAUAUAUAUAUAUAUAUAUAUAUAUAUAUAUAUAUAUAUAUAUAUAUAUAUAUAUAUAUUACCUAUUUAUUAUACAAAGCUAUGGUAGAACAAAGGGAAAAUACUAACAGCAGUCAAUGGCUUAAAGAAAACAUGCAGUAGAAAAUUCAUCUAUCAGACUUACCUCAGUGUUUCAUCAAGAGUUCCAGGAAGCCUAUGCUCCUCAUUAUAUGCAGGAAUAAUCAAUGAGAUGUACUUUUCAGCAGGAUCAAAAAUUGAAGGGCAAGGGACCUGGCAAAUGUAAUUUAGAUAUUAUUAGUGCUAAAAUAAGCUAAAAAAUUGCUUGAAAAUUGUUAUAUCAUGUAUAAAGCAUGGUCUCAAAAGCUGCGAGGGGUUAACAGAGAAAUGAAGUCCUGCCUUAUACUUGCUAGUUGCUAUUAUGUACGUGUGCUUAAAUCAGAGGUACAUCAAGAUUCGGUAUCAAGUAAGCAGCAUGAGAGAGAGAAAGAUAAGGUUCUUGUUCUGUUGUAAAAAUAUUUGACCAAAUAUGCACAGAUAUCUACUAUAAUUAGAACAAAUAACAAUAAGUAGUUAUGCUUCUGGAAAAACAAAAAGAAGGGAAGAUGUCAUUCAACUGCUUUAUUUAUAUUCUGCCAUUAGAGUCAGAUUUUUUUUUUCCCCGCUCAACAUUCUAACUAGAUUUCAGAGCACAAAUCGUUGUCAUUUUAGUUUCUUCUCGUUUCAGUAUCCCCUAAACAUAAAAUGAAGAAAAGCAUUAAGGGGCGCACAGUGUGCACAAAGCUCUUGCCGUGCAAGCUCCACGGAUUGCAAGGCUUACAUAACUUUAUUUUGAAUGCCCAAGAGAUAAUUUCCAUAACAUGAAUCCGCCAAAAAAACAUGGGUCUACCAUUGAACAAUAUGGAUCUACUUUGUACACCAAGUGACGCUAUUAUGACUUAUGAGUAAAACCUACAUGAUGAAAUUUUCCCAAGAAGCAGGAGAACUACUAUCCAUUCUCCUAGUAGCACUUCUCAGCACGGCACUUCAUCACGCAGGACUACAUACACCCUACAACAGGGCCAAACAGGCUCGUAAACAAACAUACAAUUUAGUCGCACCGGUUCAGUUACCAGAAAAAAAAAAAAAAAGGGGAAAGACGCCAUUAAAUCAUUUUAUCUCUUCUAACCUAAAAAUUCUAAGUAAUUCAUCAAGUAUCAAAUUUUGCAUCACAUAGAAUACUCACCACUCCUUGUAAUCAAAGCAUGAGCAACCAAUCGAUUCCAUCAAACUUUUCAAGACAAAAUUUAACAAAUUUCCAAAACAAAUGCGCAUCGAUGACAUUCUCACCUUCUUCAAUGAGUUGGGAUCCUCGAAGAACGCAUCUGAAACAGCGUCUCUCUCCAACCUGAAUCAAAAUCCGAAACAAAUCAUACAUAUUUCGAUUCCCACGCUCCAAGGAGAGGUAAAAUCCGAUCAAGACCUCGCGAUCGGGAUGGGAAAUGAGAGAGGGGGGAACUUACGAGUGCUUGCAUCCGAUCUUCCUCACGUACUCGAGCAGGAAAGCGGAAACGCCGAGCACCAUGACCACAACCUGCGAAUGGGAAGAGAGCAAUAAAGAAUGAGCAGCGAGAGAGAGAGAGAGAGGGGGGGAUUAGGGUUUAGGGGAGAGGGGGGAGGAGACGAACGAGAGAGAAGAGGAGGAGGGAGAGGGAGAGGGAGAAGGGGAGGAGGUGGUGGUGGUGGUGGUGAGUCGCGGGCGAGGCCAUCGUCGUCGUCGUCGUCGUCGCCGCCCCGCUCCGCGCCGAUGAGCCCAACUUAUACUUGGUCUACGGAUGAGCCAUCAACAUAUUACGUACUACUACGGUUAGCCUAGUCCUUAACAAAUCUACCCCGGCCCGGCCCGGCCCAUUACGCUCGGCCCUUUUACCCGCUUUCUUAAUUUUUUAAAAAUAAACCGAGUUAGAAAUAUAGAGCAGAUUCUGAACUUGAAAUUUUGGGCAUCUGAUAUAAUUUUUGAUCUACAUAAUUAAAGAGUUUAGAGAAAAAAUCACAUGGUCUUUGCAAAAUAUUAUUUGAUUUGCGGGAAAUGGCUCUCCAAAAUUUAUAUAUAUUUUUUUAUAUUUAUAACAAGCAUAUUUUGCUUUUGAAACUUCGCUAUUUUUCAGUAUGAUGUAUCAGUGUAUGAGAUAUGCGUAUACAUCCAGCGCAUGUAACAAUUUGUCAUUCUCAAGAAUGUCUAUGAGAUCAAAGUUUGAUUUUUAAUGAAGUGAGAUGCCAUUUCAGGUCUAAUAUUAUUUAUCAUUAUAUUUGGUUUACAGCAGUGUCUCUAAAAUAGGAGUAUUGUUGUAAUUAACAGCAAAUUGAACUUUCCAAGACUAACUCAUCUGAAACAAAAAAAUUUCACUUAACGCAAACAUUAGGAUUCAAAUUCCAAAUUAAAAGGAAAACAAGAUUGUUGUAAUCAGCAGCAAAUUGAACUUUCCAAGACUAACUCACCUGAAACAAAUACUUCCACUCGCGCAAACAUUAAGAUUCGAUUUCUAAACUGAAACGAAAACACGAAUAUCCAAACAAAACAGUUCCAAGAACAGCUAAAGCAAAAAGUACACGCUCGCUCCUAAACUGUCCAAAUCAGUAUUCAGCAGUCCUGCAACUACAAAGAAAAUCCUGGACCCACAAAAACGACAGAAAGGAAAAACGUUUCAAACGAGUGCCAUGCACUCCAAAGAAGAACCAAGAACUAGGACGUAUUUGCAUUCACAGGCCCAGAGAUUGUACCCAAAAAAGGAAAAAGAAAGCAGGGGGUUCAAUGCACCGCACAUCUUCAUCUUCAUAACAAGGCCCAGCUAUUCUCCUCUCGUAUCUCUGCUUCUUCCUCAGGGGUGAAAUCGUUCUCAAUAUUAAAGAGCUUUCGUAUCUCUUCUACGCUCUUCCCCCGAAUCAUGCUCGCAAUCUUCUGGCAACAUGAGUCCAACAAGUCCUCGACCACCAUAAAAUUCGCCACCUGAAAUUUACACAGAAUUAGAAUUAUCAUUCAAUUGCUAGUAUACAUGUAAUAUAUAUACAUAUAUAUAUGAACUAGUAUAUAUAACGUAUUUGCAUUUACAGCGCACAGAUCACUUACAGUAAAUUUAGUUUGUUUCAAAUUUACCAAAUGAGAUAUACAAUUACACGAAUCAAUCAGGAGAUCUCAUUAAUCUUUCUAGCAAUGCUACUUGUAGACUAGUCUUAUAAUUAUUUAUUCUUAUUUUUUUCAAUCCUAAAGAAUCAAAAGAAUUGAUUCAAAAUUUUGAUUUCUUGCAAGUGCAAACAAAUUUUCUGAGAGUAGGAAACAAUAACUAUUAAGCUUUAAACCAUAGUGACUAAAAGGGAGAACAAACUCUUACGGUCGAGAUAUCGUAGAGCGUGUUCACAGGGACGUUCAGGAAGCUGUGGUCCCAGCGCUCGAGAUCCAGCUUCGCGGCGGCCAGGUCGCUCUCUGUUCGGUCGCCGGCGGCCUCGAAUUCGGCGUGCUUCGUGCAGUAUUCGAAGACCUUUUCAAGGAUUUCAGCGGUGGCUAGUGGGAUCGGGAUGGCGGGGUCGUCUCCGGUGAGCUCCAUGACGUUCUUUAUCAACGUCGCCCGGGUCGCCACCGUCUCCGGCACCUCCAUUAGUUUGUCGUCGCAGCUCCUGAUCUUAACCAGCCUCUCCAUUCUUUCUUUUUCUCUCUCUCUCUCUCUCUCUCUGUUUACUAUCGUUGUGUAUGUGAUCUGGUACGCUCAUGGUGUUGUAUUUAACUAUUUAUAGGCAUUAGUCCUCGUUGGAUUAGGAUUGAAACGGUAUUAGGAUAAGGAAUUCUAUUAGAAUUUUUUUUUCUCCUUCUUUUUUUAAGGAAAAAACAGUUUUAGAAAGGAUUAUGCUCUGAAGAUUGGAUUGGCGGUUGCUACCAACUAAUAAACCGGUAGUGUUAACAACUAACUUGAAUAAAAGAUAUUCAUCAUAAAAGAAAACAACUGAAAAAAAAAGAAAAAAAAGAAAAAAAGGAAAACAACUGAAGUUUAGAUUGUAACUGAACGAACGGCCGCAAUUGCACGGUGCAUCUAACGAUCUGUUGCUAUCGGAUAAGUAUUUGAGACAUAAUUGGCUGCAAUUUGAUCAAAAUCUCAUAACUGUUAAUUUUUUUUAGACCACCACUAAAUAUUGAUCAAAAUUAUCACUACUAUCGAAUUAAAUUCUAAAUUUAAGAUAUUAAUAACAAUUUAGUAUUAGAUGUGGUGUAUGAGAUGUGCAAUGCAUCAAAAAUCGGGAAAAAAUUAUGUAGAGUAGAUCAGUGAAGAGCAUGUAAUUUUUGUUGGUCAAAACGGUCAAACGUCGUACUGCGGCCAACCUCAGAAUAAGGAGCGAAUGCCAUGCCCUUUUUAUCCUCGUUUCUAAUUUUGGGGGAGAAUAAAAUUAGCGUGAGCUAAUAAUAAUCGUGCGGGAUAAAUGGGAAUGGAUAGCUAUUCUCACCUCUACGUCGUCGUCGUCGACCUCCUCCUCCUCCUCCUCCAAUGGAGCCUCCUCCAAUGGCGACCAAAACCGUAGCUCUCCUUGUCGUCGUCGUCAUCGUCGUCGUCUCGGAGGCGCCGGGACAGGGAAAGGCCCUCUCGAUCGGCGUUAACUACGGCACGCUCGGCGACAACCUCCCCCCUCCGGCGCAGGUCGCGGCGUUCCUCCGCGACCGAACCAUAAUCGACCGCGUCAAGCUCUUCGACUCGAACCCCGACCUCGUCCGCGCCUUCGCCCUCACCGGGAUCUCCGUCACCGUCACCGUCCCCAACGGCCUCAUCCCCUCCCUCGCCGAUCGCCGCGGCGGCGCCGCCGCCGCGUGGGUGGCGGCCAACGUCGCCCCCUUCUACCCCGCGACGAACAUCACCCUCGUCUCCGUGGGCAACGAGAUCCUGGCCACGGGCGACCGCGCCCUCGUCGCGGGCCUCGUCCCCGCCAUGCGCCGCCUCUCCGCCGCCCUCUCAGCCGCGGGCCUCCGCCGCGUCCGCGUCUCCACCCCGCACUACCUCGGCAUCCUCGCCGUCUCCUGGCCCCCCUCCGCCGCGCGGUUCCGCGGCGGCUACGAGCGCCGCGUCUUCGCCCCGAUGCUGCAGCUCCUCCGCGAGACCCGCUCCCCCUUCGUCGUCAACCCCUACCCCUACUUCGGCUACAACCCCGAAACCCUAAAUUACGCCCUCUUCAGGCCCAACCCCGGGAUGCGCGAUCCCUUCACGGGGAUCACCUACACCAACAUGUUCGACGCGCAACUGGACGCGGUGUACUCGGCGAUGAAUCGGCUCGGCUACGGCGACGUGGCGAUCGCGGUGGGCGAGACGGGCUGGCCCACCGCCGCGGAGCCGGGCCAGAUCGGGGUCAGCGCCGCGGAGGCGGCGUCGUACAACCGCAACCUGAUACGCAAGGUGAACUCGGCGACGGGCACGCCCCUCAUGCCGAAUCGCACCUUCGAGGCCUACCUCUUCGCGCUGUUUAACGAGAACCUCAAGCCCGGGCCCAUUGCGGAGCGGAAUUUCGGGUUGUUUCGCCCCGAUUUCACGCCCGUUUACGAUAUCGGAAUUUUAAAAAAUAAUCCGGUAAGUAAUAAUUAAUAUUUCAAAAUUCGCGCCAGCAGCAGCAGUACUAGUAGUAGUAGUAAUAAUAAAUAAAAAUAAAAAUACUAGUACUAAUAAUUUGUGCGGUGCAACUGCAGAGUGGUAGGAGGCCGAGGAGGGGGAGAAGGAAGUGGUGCGUGGCGAAGGAGGGGGCGAGCGAGGCGGCGCUGCAGGCGAACAUAAACUACGCGUGCAGCAACGGGUUGGUGGACUGCCGGCCGAUUCAGGAGGGCGGGGCGUGCUUCCUCCCAAACACAUUGCAGGCGCACGCCUCCUACGCCAUGAACGCCUUCUUCCGGGCCAGCGGCCACCGCCGUUUUCACUGCGACUUUGCCGGGACCGGCCUCAUCACCGCCGCCAACCCCAGUAUGUCGCCUCUAAAGUUUCACCUAAUUAAAAUUGCUCGAAUUUGAAUAAACAAAAAGUUAGAGAUAUAUAUAAAUUUGAAAAUGAAAGUUAGGUACCUCUUUCAAAUGCCCUGUAGUUGAUGGGGUCUAUUAGCGUAUUUACUUACUGUUUUUUUUUCUUUUUCUCUUCUUUUUGAUGGCUAAUUACAGUAGCUUUACUUUGGGAUUACAGGUUACGGAAAUUGCCAGUUCAGAUAGCGAGGAGUAAUGUCAUAUGGACAUCACUUUGCACCCAAAAUUAAGGCUAUAAUGGGUUAGCCUCGCUAAUGUUGCUGUUAGCUGGUGAUUCAACUUAUUCAGACUUGACUAGAUAUUUAAAGUUGAAUUUGAUUUCUGACUUAUUAACUGCACUGGGACAAUUUUGUGGGGCUCAGCUCAAAAUGGUCGCGAUCUCAAAUUUGGAUACAUUCUUGGAGUGUGUAACUUAACUUCGUUAAGCUUUGUUAAUCUAUUGAGCUGCCCCUUUUUCUUUUUUUUUUUGUGGGCAUGAAAUGUAGCUUAUUAUUGAAAUCUUUUUUUGCUGUACGAAGUUUCUCUUUGAUUUCUUUCCUUGUUACAGAGAACAUGUCUACACAUGGCAUUUCUACUUAGCAUAUCACACAUGUAAUGCAAAUAUUUAAUUUCCAAAUAACAAAAUUUAUUCGCUGGUACGAAUUGAAUUAGCAGAUGGGGAUACAUUGAUAAAUGUAUAUUCCAUCAAGUACAAGAUUCAAUUUUCGAUCGUUUCUAAAGCAAGUGGCAAAGAAUUUAGUGGUUGGUUUUCUAAAUAAAAUAAAUGAAACAGAUAACGUGCUACCUAUCUCUCUAAAAAAAAAAAUUCUUACAUAUAGAGAGAUAAGUGUUAGAACAAAAUUCAGUUUUGAACGGAAAUGGCUCAAAUUUAACAAUAAUAAUAAAUAUAAAGAAUGGACAAUGAGAGUCUAGUGCGGUCACAAUUCAUAUCGUGGACAUAAUUCCAUUCAUAAUUUUUUUUUUUUUUUUAUGUAUGUGAAAUUGAGAUGCAUUUCGCUUUAUAUAAUAUCGCGUGCACACCAAAAGGAAAAAAAAAAAAACUGUGGGGGCACUGCACCCGAGAAUCUCAAUUCAAAACCUCCAUUUUCCAUGCAUGAAAGCGUUAAGAGAGAUAAAAAAUUGUGGUUCUUAUAUGACGUGGCAGACCUGGUCCAGUCAUUAACAUCCUCUAUCUAAAGUAUAAAAAACCUAAUUCAAAAACCUCCUCUGCUUCGAACCACGAUCGGAGCAAUGCCUCACAACCCCUUCUUCAGCGUCGUCGCCCUCCUCAUCAAAACCCUAACCCUCCCAAACCCUAACCUCAUCUCCCAACUCCUCCUCCCCCUCCCCCUCCGCUACUCCCCCGUCACCGCGCUCAACUCCCUCCUCCGCCAGCUCCUCCGCUGCGGCCGCUUCCCACAAGCCCUCGCCCUCUUCUCCGCCGCCCUCGAAGCCAAAACCUCCCCUCUCGACUGCUUCAGCUUCUCCAUCAUGAUCCACGGCUUCUGCUUCUCGGGCCAGCUCCGCGGCGCCCUCGAUCUCCUAACCCUGUUCGAGAGCCGCGGCGGCCCCCCCAAUGUGGUCAUGUACACGACUUUGAUCGACGGGUGCUGUAAAAAUGGCGACUUGGAAGAAGCCGAGAGGCUGUUUAAGCGAAUUGGGGAGGUAGGUUUGGUCCCAAAUGAGCUCACCUACACUGUGAUGAUCAAUGGGUACUUCCGACAUGGCUUGCAGAGACAUGGGUUCGAUCUCUACAACGAGAUGAGGGGUAAAGGGGUUUUACCCAAUCUCUACACUUACAAUUCAUUGAUAGCCGAGUGUUGCAGAUGUAGAGAUUUAGAUCGCGCAUUUAAGUUGUUUGAUGAAAUGCGUGAGAGCGGAGUUUCGCAUAAUGUAGUAACUUAUAACACUUUACUUGGUGGUCUAUGUAGAGAAAAGAGAACUACGGAUGCUCUCAAGUUGUUCGAUAAAAUGACAAAGGAGGGAAUAAGGCCAAAUUUGAUUACAUUCAAUCUUCUUAUUGAUGGGUACGGCAAAGAAGGGAAUAUGUCGAAAGCUAUGUCUACACUUGACUACAUGAAAGUAAGUGGGUUUUUGCCUAAUAUUGUUACUUAUAAUAUGCUCAUUAAUGGGUUUUCUCAAGCUGGAGAUUUAGUAGGUACUGCUAAUAUCUAUAGAGAAAUGAAGGAAAGGGAUUUAUCUCCUACUAAAGUAACAUAUACUAUUCUUAUUGAUGCUUUUGCCCGAGGGAACGAUAUGAAAAGAGCGUUUGAUGUGUAUUAUGCAAUGGAGAGGGCCGGUAAAGAGGUGGAUGUGUACACCUACGGCGUGCUAAUGCGAGGAUUGUGUGAAGAAGGCAAUUUGAAGGAUGCAUGGAAAUUAUUCGAGUCAAUGAGUGAGAAGAAACAGAAGCCCAGCAAUGUGAUUUAUGAUACAAUGAUUUAUGGGCAUUGCAAAGAAGGUAGCUCAUACAGGGCUUUGAGGUUGGUUAAGGAGAUGAGAGAUAAUGGUUUGGUUCCUAAUGUUGCUAGCUAUGGUUUAACAAUUCGUCUUCUUGUUAAGGAUGGGAAGUUGUGCGAGGCAGAAGCUCUUCUGAAUGAGAUGGUAUUGUUUGGUCUACCGGUAAGUGAUUCGAUCUGCAGAGCACUAUAUGAUGCUAAAAUGAGGAGCCAUAGUAAUUCAUAAGGCUGCUUAUGAAAAGAUCGAGAUGCUGGUUAUUGGGUUUCCUGACCCAGUCGAUUGCGGCCCUAUUAGACCCAACCCACAAUUAAGGAGCAGGAACCCUUACAUUUGUAUCUAUUGGAAAGUGAGGAAAGUAGUCCUCUUCCUUAAUGGUUGAUGAAAAGGUCUUUGAUCAAAUCGUCCUCAAGCCACAUAGAGAGAGAUAACUAAGGCAAUUUUUUGAUUCGUAAUCGGUGAAGCAAGAUAUUCGACUAAAUAUUUUCACCAUGGCUUAUGUGUUAGUGAUCCCUAUUGUAUUUAAUCCCGAGUUUCCAAUAUGAGGGUGAUAGAGAUGCGGAGUUUAUUGGAUUUUAGAAUGUGGAGGAGCAAAAGAGUACCUGUCACAUGCUUAUUAAAAUGAAAUUCUGGUUGCAGUGGUGGCCGAAGAAAUUUAAGCUGCGAGUUUCCUGACAAGGGAAGAGUUUGCAAGAGUACACACCAUCAUAGUUGACAAGUCUCGUGCUUUGGAUGUUAGAAUCAACUGCAGAGCCUAGAUCUCAAGCAGGCAUUUCCCAUCAUUGGUUAGACAAAUCGUCUUCUUUGUUAAAUCUUUUUGAAAGCUUAUAAACUUUGGAUGGAGUGAAGCGAAUUCGAAGUUUUAAGUGCUUUGUCGUGAAGAAUUGGAGUCUCAGUGCUGAUAAUAAAGAAGAGGAAGCAACUGUUGUUGUGCUUGUAUCUUGUUAUGUUCCUGCGACAUUGGUUAUUAUUUGUACAAUUACCUGGCCUUAAUCAAGGUUGGCCAAUUCCUCAUAUUUCUUGCAGACAAUAAAGAGCACAAUUUGGAAUUUAUUUUUGUUUUCAAAGAGCACUUAUAUAAUUAAGAGUCAGAAUGUGGAGAUAUGUACUGCUUGAAUAUUGGCAAUGAUACUCAAGUCCGUUACUCUAGAUAUCAUCUCACACUUUGCAUGGCUUCUAGAAUGGCUUCUUUACUUCAAGAUAAUGUUGUUUGGCGCCUGGUAAAAUAAAAUAUCUCUUUGAAUUUGUUUUAGUGAGAAGUUGAAACUUGCUCAUGGGCACUUUCUAAGUAUAAGUUCAUGCUCAUACUGCAGUGGAAUUUUAACUAGAAAGUUGCAUAACCGACUGUCCCUAGAGCAAGUGGCAAAGGAUUUGGUGAUUGAUACCUAAGAUCCAAGUUCGAAUUCUAAUUGAUUCACAUUUCCAGCUAAGUUUAUUUCUAAAUAAAAUAAACAAAGCAGGCAGUGUGCUACCUAUCUCUCUAAAUAAAAAAAAAAAAAAAAAAAAAAAAAAAAAAAAAAAAAAAAAAAAAAAAAAAAAAACUAGAAAGUUGCAUGAUUGGAUUUUCGUUUUCUCCGAAAGCUGCACUCAUAUAGCGAUCCUCCAUAAGCACUUUUUAUAGGAGUUGGACAGUGGUGGCUUUGGUGUGUUUGAAUAUGUCAUGCACCUCAGUUAAUAUUUUGAUACAAAUAUUUAAAAAAAAUCAAAAUAUGAUCCUAUAGAUAUACAUCUACAUCGUUCAAAGGACUCAUAUACGGAUAAUCGUAAAUUUUUUCAUGAGCAUUAUACCUGGACUUUAAUUAGUUCAAAGUUAACUCUAUGGAGAGAGACACCGUUUCAUUCUAAGAAAAAAAAAGAGUGUGGAAAAUUUACAAUUUGGUUAGUACGUGGGCCCUUUCAAAUAUUAUAGAAAAUGGGAACGCAACCAAUAAUUUAAAUUUUCAUUUCAAAAGCUCUACUCAAUAAGAUUUUAUUGUUACGGUGCAUAGUGCACCGGGUACACACAAUAAUUUCUCCAAGUAAAAUCUUUUCUUUGUUUCAAUUAAAUCUCGAUUAAGUCGAUGGUCCCGAGCAUCUCGCGAUCUUUUUAACCACGUUUCAUUUAAAUCCGCGAAUCCGACCCUAGAUUCGGAUCCAACGGCUCACGUGGACGCGCGAAUAAUCAACGGUUCUUAACGGGCCAUUGACCCCUGUGGACCAGACGGGGCGAUGAGUGCCGUUUGAAGUUCAAACUUCGUCCGCCCAAUCGUAACGCGCCACGUCAGCGAACCGUUACCCUCCCUUUCCCGAGCGAACCCUAACGUCUCCGUUUAUGCGCCGUCACUCGUCCGUUUCGUUCCGUUGCUUGCCCCGUACUAUCCCGGUUUCAUGACUUGGUCCCUAAGCUACCGUUUUGUUCGGGGUUAAGAAAAAACUAGUUAUUUCAAAAAUAGGAUUAAGUUUAGGGUUAAGGCUGGAUUAGAGUAUUUUUGUGUUUGGUUGGAGAUUGGAGUUAGUCCAGAAUAGUGAAAAAUAAUAUUUGAUUGGAGUAGGUGGGAUGAGAAGAAUAAUGGGGUAUUAUAAAUAGAAAAUAGUAUUUGGUUGGGAUUUGGUAGGGUUAGGUGGGGUUAGCUAAUCCGGGAUAACCUAUUUGAGGUGUGGUUAGCUGACCUCACCCAUUUUUAGAAGUGUUUGGGGAUAAAAUGGGGGUUAACGGGUUAUUCCACCCUUAAUCCCCAACCAAACGGAGGCUAAAUAUUUUGAGUUGAGAAAUAAUCACUUUACUAACCGUCCCUAGAGCAAGUGGUAAAGGGCUUGAUGGUUGGUACUCGAGACCUAAGUUCGAAUCCUAGUUGAUUCACAUUUCCAGCUAAGUUUAUUUCUAAAUGGAAUAAACGAAACGGAUAGCGUGCAACCUAUCUCUCAAAAAAAAAAAAUAUAUUGAAAACAGGGUUAAAAAAAUGUUAUUUACAUACAAUCAAGUUUUAUAUUUUAUUUUUUUGAUUAUUGUCAGGGACUAAAGUUAAGAGAUUAAAUGUUAAGUCAAAAUUUAGGAAUCAAAAUAGUAAUAUUAUGAUAUUACAGGGGCUUUCGUGCAUUUUGUCCACUACUAUAUAGUUUCACUUCAACGGCGACGUUUUUCGAAGAGAGAGGGGGGGGGUUCUUCGAGUCGUUAGAGGGAGAGAGAUACGGAUUCGAGGGUUUCGUUUUCACCACCUCGAUCUCUUUCUUUUGGUUUGGUAAGCGUUCUCAAUUCCCUUUACUUGUUUUCGUCUUCGAUUCCGAGAUUAUUUAAGUCUCUAAGUUGGGAUUCUGAAGUUUGGAGCUUGGUUUCAAUCGGAAUUUAAGCUCUUUUUUCUUGUGAUUUUUGGUGAAUUUAGGGUUUAUUACGGAGGUAAUAGAUGGAGGAGAACAGGAACUCUGAGGCUCCGUUGAGCUCUUUGGCGUCGGAGGAGAAUUGUGGGGAUUCGACGAUGAUCCCCACUGUUUCUAGCCCGGUGAAAUCAUCUCGUUCCAACAAGUAAUGCUCAAUUUGCUUAAUUUUGUUUGGUUUUGAACUCUAAUUUUGCUUGAUAUUGAGUGAUCCUCCGUAGAUUCUGUUAUGGAUUUGUUCACGCUGCUUAGUGUAGUUCCUGUUUGAUUAGGAAAGUUGCAGGUUUUUCCUUGAUGCUUCUUUCCAGUAUUAUUAGGUUUUUUUUGCCUAAAGGUGUUGAUUUGAUAGUUGUAAGAGCUUUUCCAUUAUAAGUCUUCGCAACAGUUCAUUAUGGCGAAGCAGAAUCUCUUCUGCUUCUAGAAGCUUAUUAAAGCUUUGGGACUGGUUCGUUCGUGCCUUUUGAACAUGUAUACUCUAAAAGUUGUGGGGAAUAUUUUAAUAUAAUGCAGCUAGUGCUACUUCUUAAGCAACAUUUUUGCAAAAGCUCCAUCCCGGGCCAAAUAGGCACUUAGACAAUUUCAUUGCUGAAGACAUGGCUUCUGCUUCCGAAGUAGAAAGCCGAAAUGCGCACUAAACAGGCACAAAGAGUUUCUUUCCUUGGUUUAGUAUAAGAAAUUGAUUAUAGGAGGAACGAACUAACUUCCUUUCAUGUUUAAAUUAAUACUAUGAUCGUAGUCACUUCUAUGCGUACGAGAAACUAAAUUAAUGUGUAUAAUCUCAAAUAUGAAAGUCUAUUUGUAUUUUCUCACUUCCUUCUAUGUUCAUAUUCGUUUGAAUAAACUCUUGUUGACAUUUCGAAAUCCCAGGGGAGUAAGCAUUGUUUCGCUGUAUGUGAUUUUGCUCCAUUGAACUUACAUAUAAGUCUUUUGCAAUAUCUUUAUGUUAUAAUAUCUACUGUAGGAGAAAGACGGUGGAAGCUUGAAAGUGUCAGCAUUUUGUGUUUUACUUUUAGUAAUUUAAACUUGUCUGAUGUUGAUUUCUUGUAAGCGACAAACUAAUUAUGAUAUUCUGAACUUCAAUACUGAUAAAAUUUUCUUCUUUCUUGUCCCGUAUGUUGUUACCAAGGCAUCAGCAUUGCCGUUAGUUUGCUGCAAAUCACUGCAAUUGGGCGCUAUAUGCACUCUCUGUACACUUUUGUUCUCUUUUUCUCUUCAAUGUUUAUCUUAUAUUACAUUUAUUUUAGGAGGGUAACUGGCCCGAUAAGGCGAGCUACGGGUGGUUGGACCCCGGAAGAGGUUAGCAUUUCAUUUUUAAUCUAUAUUCCUUUGAAGAUUAUCGAUUUACCUGUACAUAGUUGCUACUGCACACAGUUAGUUGCACAAAUGCUUACACGUCUACCUCUUGAAAGCCACUCUUUAUCAAGUUACACGGGAUUGACCUUGGUUUGGUCUUGAACCGGCCAGUUUUCACCCUUAACCAUCCUAGUACUUCUAAGUUUGAGUUUGCUCGGUUCUUGUCUCAACUAUAGUAUCUUUAGUAUUCCUACCAUGUUAUUGCUCUCGUCUUUGUCAGCUUUGUAAAAUAGUGGUCAGUUGAGCUUUCUAAUGCUAAAACAUGUCACAGGACGGGGAAUUGAUGAAAGCAGUUGAAAUUAACAAGGGAAAAUGCUGGAAGAAAAUAGGUAUUUUUCUUUCCUUUGUAUUACACACUAGCACAUAUUGAAAUCCAUUGGUAAGUAUCGCACCAAUUGGUUUUGAGAAGUCUGUCUACUUGAAAUCAGCGGCUGAAUUAUAAUAGUUAGGGGUUGUUUAUCCCCCGUUGAACCGCUGACAAAUAGUGUUCUAUGCAUUAUUAAUUAGAAGCUCCGAGUUUGUAGUUGUCUCUUUCUUUUUUUUUUUUUUUUGAAUCUUGGAAAAAACAAACCCCGGUAGCCAAAAGGGUGCAAUGGGUUAAAAAUAUAUAAGAAUUAAAAUUAAACAGGUUUCAAGAACAGUACAUAAAGCAUUAAAUAAAAAACUGAGGAGACACCCAAAGGUGAUCAAGUCAAAGAUGAAAAUAUCGACACAUCAGCGCAUUAGAUGGAAUACGGCUGCGUUGGAAGAGGGAGAUAAGUAUGUCGAAGAUGCGACGAGUUUCGCUCAGACCAGAGGACGCGAAGCAGACUGAAGAUGGUGUUCUCUUCGAUAUCUUAGGUAACGAGAAGACCUACAUUGUCCAAGAUGUCUCAAUAUCCAAAUAAGUUAUGUUGAAGGACGAAAGGAAAAGAUGAGAGAUGCCACACAGCUAUGGGAGUAGGGGCAAGAAGGUAAGUGAUAAUAUCUUCGCAGCUUAGGCAAAGCUCAACAUCUGUUUGUAGGCGGAGAAAUCAACACGAGAUCCGAAGGUUUUCAGAGUUUAUAAUUCGUUUUUAUAUAAAAAGCCCAAACGUAAAACUGCAUCGAGGAUGUUGUGAAUUGUGUACCAAACUGUGAUCGGAGGUCGGCGAUGUUGUCAGCAAAAAGAAAAGAAUUGUUAUGCUGAUGAAGCUGGAAGAAAGUGGCAUGGGGGGGAGUCCAUUUCCGAGCAGCAGACGUUUGGAGGCCCGACGCAAUAUGGAAGUGUCUAACUGUAGCAUGGUGUCGAAACUCUGUUUGUGACAUGAUGUCGGGUAAGAGAUGACGGUAAUAGAGAACAGAUUAUCAUAAAACUUCGGACACAAGAGCCAAUUUGAUGAGCAGAGUAGGAGAUAGAGCGGAAGUUGAUCAUCAGGGGUGUUUGCCUACAAGUGUAACCAAAAAAUGUUUGUCCAUUAUAUAGCAAAAGAGUGUGAAGAUGUUGAGAUUAGGAUAGUUGAGAUCACUACGCAGAGCGAGCUGGGGGAUGCUUCCAGUGAGAGGGAGAAGAGGAAUAAUAUUACGAUUUAAUUAAAAUGCCGGUAUGAGUCGGCCUUCGCAGACAAAUCUCACAAGACCACGUAGUGCAGAGAAGAGACACAAGCUUACUUGCUAGUAGAUGGUUUGCUCUUACACAUCACGCCAAAGCUUUCACGUUAGCACUCAUCCCCAGUCGAAUAGAAGGAUUAACCCUUCAUUUUAUAGGACAUGAUGAUUUCCCUCCAUAGAAACUGUCGCUUUGGAGCUCCGCAGCUGGUGAGUUAUAGACUUAGACUGUAAAACUCAAUAGAUACGGUAUGGAGUUGAGUAAAUUUCGUAGAACCUGAUAAUCCUAAUUCAAACAACUCGACAGCCACAAUCCCGGUGAUAGUAGCGACUUUUCCAUCCGAGAAGUUUUUUCAUGAACUUGUCAAUAAGAGGGUGUAGCACAAGUUGGGCUUAGUCGGGGCCGAAAGGUAGGCGUCAAGUAGGUUAGUGAAGUGACCAUAGAGCGUUUGAGGAUUUGAAGUAAGCAUGGAUGUUCAGUGAGAUAAACAUAGAGUGAUGUCUUCGCAAUUGUUAUUGAUAAAUGACGAACGGCAGAAGGCCUCUAAGUUAGUGUCCUGCAUUGAGAAGGUUUCGACAGUAUGUUCAUCGCAAAAAGUUGAGAGUAUGCAUAUUGCAAAAGGGGACUAUAGGCAGUAUGGUAAGGGUUGAGGAAUGAGAUUGGGCGGAUGAAGACGUGCCAAGUUUUUAGAACAUCAGCACAGGUAAGAGAUAAGGCGAGUAGGUCGCUGAUCUUGUCCUCGUCAGGGAGAAAUUCACUUGCUGGGCAACCUUACGGAGACAAAAUGCAAUCGCGAGGACAAAAGGUUUGUGGAUUCAGUCGUCCAUUUAAUGUCGACCACGAAGGUUAGGCAGAUUUGAGAAAUGGCAGCUAACACUGUCGAAAGCCUUAGAGAAAUCAAUUUUUAAAAGGGCCAAUUUUUUCUUCCGCCUUCUAGCAGCGUUAAGAACCUCGUGAGCCAUUACAAAGCUGUCAUGAAUGCUGCGGUUCUUGAUAAAGGCUGUUUGAUGCGGGUCAAUGAGUGAAUCAAUGACCGUCAGCAAACGGGUCGCGAGCACCUUUGAGAUAAUUUUGCUAAUAGCAUGAGUAAGGCUAAUAGGUCGGAAAUGCUCUGGUGCAAUAGCUUGCGCUGUCUUUGGGAUCAAAGAAAUCCAUGAGCUGUUGAGAUAAUGUGGGAUGUCGCCACCAGCAAAGAAACCCUGCAUAAAACAUAAUAUAUCUGCUUUUAAAAUGGGCCAGAACCGUUGAUAGAAUCCCAUAGGGAAGCCAUCAGGCCCCGGUGCUUUGUCCCCCUGAAGCGCAUCGAUUGCGGCUUUGACUUCCAGCUCAGAAAUAUUUGUCGAAAGAUGAUGGAGGUUAGGAGUACUGUCUGGUGGCAGACUUUGAUAAAGGGCAGUAAGAUUGAUAUAGGCUGAAGGGGUGUAGCAGGAUCCAAUAGAGGAGCGAAAAUAUUGGAAAAAGGUCUCGGCAAUGUCAGAUGGUUUGUUCAGGGUGAGGUUGUUACGGUGGAUGUAAUUCCGCCGUCUACGACCGCUAGCAUAAGCAUGAAAGAAGCUGGUGUUGCGGUCGCCUAACUUGAGCCAAUUUAUUCGAGACCUUUGCUUCCACUUGAUUUCGGCUUGUUCGCAUAAUGUAUCUACCCUUUCCUUGAGUAGACAUCUAAUUUUGAAUUCAGCAGUGUCGAGUUGGCGAGUUUCCUCCGCGUUGUCGAAAAAGGAGAUCCAUUUUAAACAAUUUGUAAUCGUUCGGUCAGGAUCGGGUGCAUGAAGUUUGCUCCAAGAGGUUAAUGCUCGCUGCAGGGCCAAUAAUUUUCUAUGUAGAGUAUAACCUGGGGUGGCAUUGGUUGAUUCAACUGCCAUCCAUGCAUUCUUGACCACAUCAUUAAAAUCAGAGCAGGACAACCAAUAGUUCUCGAAGCGAAAAAUAUUUGUCCUGUUGAGUUUUGACGCACAGCUAAGCAGGAUAGCACAAUGGUCGGACACUGCAUUGGCAACAGGGUGAAGAAAGCUAGUAGGAUACAGUGAAUUCCAAUCGGUUGACACUAAACAACGGUCAAGUUUAACCAAAGUUGGCCGGUAACGCCUGUUUGACCAUGUGUAGCGUCUACCGCACAGAGGUAGCUCAAUCAGGCAAAGGUUGUCAAUGGUAUCAUUGAAAUUGCGGGAAGCAACAGAUUGUCUUCGAGCUGAAUUUGAAUCAGAAAUGAAUCUAGUGAUAUUAAAAUCCCCCAGCAAGAUCCAAGGAACGCUCGCCAACAAGCGAACCUGCUGUAAUUCUAGGAGAAAAUCAUCAACUAGCCGAUUCACACACGGCCCAUAGACAUUUGUUACAAGAAAAUUCUGCCCAGUUUUUCUAUCCACACAGAGGGUUGAAAGUGUAUAGUUAAAACACCAACUUGAAAUGAGGUCAAAUUUGGUGGAGUCCCAAGCUGUUAGUAAACCACCGGAUCGACCCCGAGAUUCCUUGUAUACGUAACCGUCAAGAUUUUUUCCGCAGAUACUUCUUAAUUUGCUAGUGUUGAGACAUUGUAGUUUGGUCUCUUGAAGACAGAUAAAACUGCAUCUAUUUGAUAGAAGGGUUCGCUUUAUAAUCCCACAUUUUCGCAGUCGAGAGAGGCCACGGACAUUCCAACAUAAAAAAUUAUCGAUAUAACCUUUAGCCAUAAAAUAAAACUUUAAAAUCUCAGCUACGAAGGAGCACCUGAGGGAGAUCAUCUGUCUGAUACCGCUUCCGUCUGGCCAGACCUUGCACAGAUUUGAUCCAAGACAUUAGAUGGCAAGAGGAAAGCACAUUCCUUUUGAAGCAACAUAACACUCUCUCGAUUUAUUUUUAAAGCAGGGUUCGGGCUUGAGAUAACAGCGGAUCGAUUGGGAGAUUGUGGGAGACUCGGGGUAGCGGAUUGCGCGGUGGAAUUUUUCGUCGACAAGGUAGAGGGAAGGUUUUUAGAGGUAGUGAGGUCCAGAGCUCUCUGAAUAGGUGACUUAUAGGGCCCGUUCAAUUUAAGGGCGAGGCGAAUGCUACGACGAGGUAUGGUGAUUGGAAGGGAACAGGCUUUAGUGGCGGGAGGCGAUUUUAUUUUAAUGGGUGAGUUGGGCUGAGUGGGGUUACAAGGAGGUGAUUUUGCUCUAGCGGAUGAGUUGGGCUGAGUGGGGUUACAAGGAGGGUUGGGGACCUCAACAAGUAGUUGGGAACAAAGUUUGUUAAAAUGUGGGCUAAGGUAAUGGGCCAGUGAGGGGUUCGGUGGAAGAGAGCAUGGAGGGGGAUUAUAUGGGCUGCUUUGGAUAGUGGAAUUUUUAUCAAAACCAACAGCAGAAGAUGAGGUUUUGUUGAGGGAACGAGAGUGGAUGUUUGACUGACAAGGAGAAUAAAGUGGGUCAGCAGCAUUAAUGGCAUUAAUGUCAGCAGGGUCCGCGGGAGAUGUGCUGCUGUUGGUAUGGCGUGGAGAAGCUCCAAAGUCUGCUAAAAUCCCGGGAAUAGCAGAUCUCCCAUUUAAGAUGGUGGUGUGCUGUCGCGUCCUCAUAGAAACCUUGUCAGAAGACUCAUAGACUGAUUCAGGAGAGCUUGGAUCCGAAUGAAGCGAAAACUGCGUGGAGUUGGUGUCCAGCAGAGCAACGGAGUUGGGGACAAAGCUGGUUGAGUCGGACCCGGUGUUGAGCGAGGGUGAGCCCAAAGUUGAGUCCAACUGAGUUGCUUCUUUGAUUUGGUCAAACCCAGAUUUGGUCCCCGCAGAAAUAGUGUAGCGCGCAGGGGGCGGCACUGCGCCAUGGUUGAGGUGGACAGGAGAAUGCACGGGGGACGACGCGGCCGGAGCAAUAUCCGACGCAAUGCGCCGACCGGGAGGGGACGGGGCUGCGCUACUAGAUCCAGCGAUUUGAUCAGAAGGGUGGGGUCAAUCCCUAGUUGCAUGGAGAGGCAUGGCCCAAUCAUAAUCAUCUUCAGGGGGCGUAGGAUCAUCUUCAUCUUGGGUAGAGGUGCCCUCCGGGAUAAGUAUGGCCGAUAGGAGUUCGAACUGCACAUAAUGACAGACUCCCCCGACUACAACUCGAAAGGUAGAGGGAAGGCCGGAUAAGGCCUCAGUCCUGAACAUGAAUAUGAGGUGCCUGGUAUCUAACCUGUGCUCCGAGAUUGGGUGCAUUCUGAGAAACACCCCAAGGGAACCGAAGAUUUGCUCGACCGCAUCAUUCGACCAGCAGUGCAUAGGUAGGCCACUCAGCUUGCCCCAGGCUUUAUAUGGUAGGUGCACUGUUGAUGCUCCAGUAGUGGGAACCCAUCUGUUGACAAUAAAGCGCACACCAUUGGCUUCGAAAGAGCGAGUCGAUAAUGCUGCCUGAAGGUGGCCCACGGAUGUAAAGGUGACAAGAAAGUCAUAUGGUUGAUGCUUGGACACAUCUAUGCCACGAAAAGGAAUACGUAGCCUGUCAACAAGCAUGUUGUGGAUCAUAUUCAUGUCCGGCGGCUCAACAUAAGAGAUAAUAUCAAUUGUGGCAGAUCUAUCCAAAAAAGAGGGUUGGCCUAGGAGAGUUUUCGAAUCUUUAAGGUAACAAGUGGAUGUGCGAUUUAGGAGCGCCAUAUUUUUUGAGCUUAUCGGUGGAGGCCGUACGGUAAACUGGCAGGUGUUGGAAGUGUCCGGUUGAUGGCUUCGGUGGAGUUUAGAACGUGGAUGAGUGGCCACCCUGUGGAUAGAUGGAGGAAGAAGGUCAGGCUUGGAGCUGGGUGGAAGCAGAGAGUUGAACUUGUUGUGGAGUUGCGGAAGGUAGGCGACAGGUGUGAAGCACUUUUUGGCGGUGUGGCCCAGGCACAUGCACCGGAAACAGCGGGUGGGCUGCCGACAGGAUGUUACCCAGUGCUCUCGGGACAGACACCGAAAACAACAGGCAGAGAAAAAAGGGUUUCCAAAUAAUGGAUGCUUCUUGCGCUCGGUGUGGAUAGUGCGGCUUUUGGCCCGCGUGGGGAAGGUUGGAAUACGCUUGUUAGGUUGGUGAGAGGAGCGGGGGAAGGUAGAUUUGGAAGCAGGGGCGGAUAGGAGGACAUCUUUGAAAGAGACAUGGUGGGGUUUGGGUGAUGGUUGAGGUGGCUGAGGUGGGUGGAUGAAGUUAAUGUUGUAAGGGACGUUGGUGGUAGGAGUGCUAGAAGCUGGCAGAGUAGUGGAGUUGUAAUUACUGUGGUUAAUUUGAGGGAAGAGUACCUUCCGCCCAUUUUUACCAACAAGGGUCCAACCCUCUUCAAAACUAGGACGCAAAGUCUUAGGAGAGGCAUGGGUGGCAUGCUGAGGUACAGAGGGUUGAGGUGUAGGAAGACGUCGAGGAUGGAGGCAGCGGUGGGGAAGCUGCGCCGCGGUGGGAAAGCGGCGACCAUGACGAGGUGGGAAAGCGGCGACCAUGACGAUUUCCUCUGGUUGUUCUUGAGCUGUUAUAUUUUCGAAAGUAUAAGAGAGUUGGUACCUCCAACUUUUUGACUCUCGAAUCAAUUCUUUUGAUUAUUUUUAAUUUUUGGAGAACUACUAUCAUCCCAACCCUACAAUCCUUAAUUCAAGAGUCAAAAGUCGAAAACACUAAUUCUCUUAUACUUUCGAAACUAUAAUAGCUCUAUAUAUAUAUAUAUAUAUAUAUAUAUAUAUAUAGUGUAGAGCUACUACGCUAUCGGAAGCAUAGAGCAUUUGAUACUUCCGAUAUUUUGACCUUUAGAUUAAAAAUUAUGUGGUUGGGAUGAUAGAGUUCCCCCCAUGGUUGAAUAGUAUCCCUAGGGUUGAGUGGUCCCCACAGGAUAAUAGUAUUAAUCCAAAAGUUAAAAAUGAUUAAAGGGGUUGAUCUAACGGCCAAAAAAUCGAAAGUACCAGAUCCUCUAUAAUUCCGAUAGCAUAUAUAUAUAUAUAUAUAUAUAGUCCGGCUGGGAUAUUAUCGACAGCACGAAACAUUUGGUGCUAUCAAGUUUUCUGCUGUUAGAUUUACCUCUUUUAUCAUUUUUAACCGUUCGAUUAUACUAUUCAACUAACCACCC
This 44983-nucleotide long non-coding RNA is filed under the name Ananas comosus (pineapple). RNAcentral describes it as "long non-coding RNA (ACOM_LNC018992)". The record is from RNAcentral. Lineage: Eukaryota; Viridiplantae; Streptophyta; Magnoliopsida; Poales; Bromeliaceae.